AUCAACUUUUGUAUGCCAACAAGAUGGAGCCCAGCCACAAUGAAUCUAAAUGAAAUAUUUUUUCCCUGGAGCGCCCCUAGAGACAUAAAUGAAUUAUACUCUUAUGUGCCCUCCUCAACAGGAUCACUACAUUAUCAGUAUUGUAUUCCAGGAUUUGCUUGUCUUCAGGUAAGAGAACAUGAAAUGAUUUACAUGUUAGAUAAAGUCUCAGAAGAUAUACAUGAAGGUCUCCAUGUUAUAUAGUUCGAAUACCAUGUCAUAAACGUUUUAUUUAUUAUUGUAAAAGAACAUAUUCCCCACUCCAGAUAUAUUUCAAUUUUUCCUCACAAAAUUACUUUGGAAGUAAAAGUAAAAUAAAACAAUUUUCCCUCCCAGUUUUUCCAGUUUUCUUUAAGGCUUUCCCGUUUUGAUCUAAGAGUGAAAUAGGGAAGACCCAAGGUGUAUGUAUCUGGCUUGCAGAUGCUGGAUCCUGUCAUAAACUAAAGGUAGUUAUGAGUUUUUCUCAUUUUGGUUAUUUAUACUUCAUUUAACACAAUCCAUUUCCUUUCAAAAUUUGAUGAAAGGAUCAUUAUAUUUAAAAAAAAUGAGGUGACGGUGGUCCUUUAAGUUUAAGGCACAAUUAAUUUCAUUAACUAAAGUCACCAUCAAGGAUAUUUAAAAUUUGUGGGAAGUGUUGUUUGGAAAGAUAUAUAUUUAAUGUCAAAUAAUCUGUUGGGAACUUUGUAUGAAAACCCAUCAAUGAUUAUAUAUUAAUUUCUGAAUGGAACGCACAUCUCUCAGUUUGUUUGUCCAAUUUGAUGCCAAUUAUGUUACAUUAUGUCAAAUUGAAAUGACAUUGAUAUGAUGAGGAAAUUAAACAUAUGAAAAUGUCCUUGGAAGAAUUUAAAGAUUUACCAUCAUUUGAGUUAGAGCAUGAUCUUCAAGUUAAAUGUAACAAAUUUGAAGAAAAUAUUUCUGAACAGAAGAGUAAAACAUUCUAAUACAAACAAGACUAAGGGGAUGAUAAAGUGUACACAUGGUGUAUAGGUAAAAUAUGUGUGAAGACACAUAAAGGAAUGAGAUUCUUUUAUGCUUUCAGUGUUUCUUUCUCUGGCUCUGCUUCUUCUCCCCAACUCCUCUCUGUUGGUGUACCCCAAGGUUCAGUCCUUGGUCCCUUAGUGUUCCCUUGGUAAACUCAUUAGCUCCUUUGGCUUCCAAUAUCAUUUCUAUGCAGAUGAUACGCAAAUCUACCUGUCCUCUCCUGAUCUCUCCCCGUCCCUCUUGACUAGUGUAUCUGACUGCCUCUCUGCUAUUUCUAACUAGAUGGCUGCCCACUUCCUUAAACUAAACUUGACCAAAACUGAAUUCUGGUCUUUCCUCCCUCAAGUGUUGUUACUUCUGUGCCUGUCUCCCUUCAAGUCAACGGUGCUACCAUCAGCUCCACCACGCAGGCUCGCUGCCUAGGUGUUCUUUGACUCUGACCUCUCCUUCAAGCCUCAUGUUCAAUCUAUCGACAAAUCCUAUCAUUUCCAUCUCAAAAACAUUGCACGCAUCCGCCCCUACUUAACGCCAGAAGCGACUAUGGUGUUGGUCCAUUCCACUUUCCUUUCUCGCCUUAACUACUGUAAUCCGCUUCUCAGUGGUCUUACGUGCUCCCAACUUGCGCCGUUACAGUCCAUAAUGAAUGCAACCGAGGCUCAGCUUCCUGUCCGUCCGCACCUCCCAUGCCUCACCCUUCUGUCAGUCCCUACAUUAGCUUCCUAUAAAAUAUAGAGCUCAAUUUAAAAUUCUGGUUCUUGCUUUCAAAUCUCUACAUAAUGCUGCUCCCACCUAUCUAGCCUCCCUUAUACACAAGUAUGUCCCGUCUAGGCCCUUACAAUCUGCUGAAGACUUACGUUUAUAUUCUGUCCGUACUCCCACCUCCCCCUGAUGCUUGCCUUCAAGAUUUCUCGGUGGCUGCACCGUUCCUGUGGAACUCGCUUCCCUUCUCCGUUAGAUGCUCACCCAGCCUCCACUCCUUCAAAAAAUCGUUAAAAACCCACUUCUUUAUAAAAGCGUGUCAAUUAAACUGGUAAUAGCUCCUGACUGAUUCCUCUUCUGCAACUGUCACUAGUCUAAUACUAUCCUUACCUUUUUGUGUAAUUUUACCCCACUCCCUCUAGCAUGUAAGCUCAUUGAGCAGGGCCCUCAACCCCUCUGUUCCCGUGUGUCCAACUUGUCUGGUUACAACUACAUGUCUGUUCAUCCACCCAUUGUUAAGCACUGCGGAAUUUGAUGGCGCUAUAUAAAUAUCAUAAUAAUAAUAAUAGUAAUGCUUCUCAACACGUUUCCUAUUCUGAAACCUGUCUGUAAUGUAUACUAAUCAAAGGGAAAUCUCACGAAUGACAAAAUCCCCUUAGUAAGUGAAUAACACCCUCCUCUAUUGAUAAAUAAAAGUUACAUAUUAUAUAUUGGAAAAGCAGCGACUCAGAGGGGAUAUGAUAGCAUUAUACAAAUAUAUCCAUGGCCAAUAUAAACCGAGGGGAUAUGAUAGCAUUAUACAAAUAUAUCCGGGGCCAAUAUAAACCAAGGGGAUAUGAUAGCAUUAUACAAAUAUAUCCGGGGUCAAUAUAAACCAUUGUCUUGAAAUCUAUUCAUAAACAGGACUAUACAUAGAACACAAGGUAACGCAUUUAGCCUGGAAGAAAAUAGAUUUAGUCUAGGGUUUUUACAGUAAGAUCAAGAAGGAUGUGGAAUUCUCUGUCGGGAGAAGUGGUUGUAUCAAAGUCUGUACAGAUGUUUAAACAGCAACUCUAUGAAUACUUGCAAAAAAAAACAUAAUAUUAAGAGAUAUCAUUUUAAAUUUGUGGGUUAACAGCUUCUUGAUCCAAGGAUCAUUUUGGGGACAUAAGAAUUUUUUUUUCUUGGUUUGUUUCAAAAUUGGAAGUGCUUAAAACUGUUUUUCCCUUCUUUUGGAUCAACAGCAAAAAGAGAGAGGCUGCCCUUGAUGGACUCCUGUCUCUUUUCAGCCUAGGUAACUAUGUAACUAGUUGCUCUACUUUCAUACAGUGAUUGUUAACUGACGGGGAUAAAAUAAACAUAGUGACCUAAUAUUCUGCCUUGUUUUAGGCACAGCUGCAUAUAUGUUAAGAAACAAUGGAAUUAAAGGAAAACUUUAAAAAAACAAAUUAAGUUAGGGAAUGAGACUUGCUCUGAAACUGGUGCACAUGGAUGCCAUACAAAGCCCUCUAUUAAAACAACAAUAUAAACAAUAUCUCAAUAAACCUGACAUAAAACCAGGAGCAAGUAUAUAGUGGUACUUUACAAUAUCUCAGUUGUGAGAGACAAUGGGGAAUAAAAACUGUACCAACGGUAUGUAAUGAGAAAAGAGUCCAAAUAAAUAAAACUCCAUUAAACUAAGUGGGUGUGAUUAAUGUUACAGUCUAAACAAAAGUUCAAAUUGUAACUAAUGAGUCCAUUAAGCAAUUUAUCUGAAAAUGUCCACAUGUAACAGUUUGUAUAUCAGAAUGUUGCAAUGUGUAAGAGAGAGGCUGAUAAAUACAAAAACACAUCAGCCUAGUGAUAACUGUAUCUAGGGGCUUUGCUCCCCGAUAUGCAGUCUCUAGAGAAAAGAAUCAGUUAGUAUUUUAAUUAUAUAUAUAUAUAUAUAUAUAGAGAGAGAGAGAGAGAGAGAGAGAGAGAGAGAGAGAGAGAGAGAGAGAGAGAGAGAGAGAGAGAGAGAGAGAGAUAUGUGGAUACUAAGGUUUACAUAUUCUGGAGACUAUUUGUGGUUGCCAUCAUAAGUGUUUCUUUUUUACUAUUGGAAGUGCUAUAUAAUUUAGCAAUCUUUGUGAACACGUUUAGGUUGAUGUGUUUUCAUAUUCAUCAGCCUCUCUCACAAAUUGCUUCAUUCUGAUUUGCAAACUAUUGCAUUUGAUUAUUUUCAGAUACAUGGCUAUAUGGACUGAUUACUAUUUGCACUUUUUACAUUUUUUUUGCUGUUAAGUUAAUCAAGCCCACUUACCUUAAUUAAGUUGUAUUUUUUUCUUUUUUAAUUCUCUAUUUUUCUGUGCAAGAGAUGUACAAGUAUGCAUGAAUUGCCACAGCAGACUCUUCCUAUUAUAUACAUCCCAAGGGCUGGAGGAGAAGAAACUGGGGGAAGGAGGGUAAUAAAACACACAGAGUGGCUAAGAGGGGCGAAAGAGACACACAAUGGGGGGAGAGGCACACAGAGGGCUGGGAGAGAAGUGGUGCACAGAGGGGUUGGGGGGACAAAGAGACAGAGGUUAGGGGAACCAAGGGACACACAGAUGACAUUGGGAACGACAUAGAGACGCAUAUAGGGGGGGGGGAGGGAAGACAUACAAAGGGGCUUUUUUUUAUUUCCCAUUGUCUCUCGCAACUGUAUCUUUAGUUUUUAAUAUUUAUUAUAAAGUACCACUAUUUACGUGUCUUAGUUUGGUUUAUGUUUGGAUGUAUCCUCUCUGAUUAUAGUCCCAGAGAUAGUAGAUAGCUAUAUACCCCAAUCUUACCUUGUCCUUAAUCAUCGUACAAUGGGUAAUGUGUGCUACAUGUGCAUAGGUCAUUUAACAGCUGUUUUUUACCUCAUAAUAAAAGCAUUUCCACUGGAACUGAGUCAAUAAUAAAGCCGGUUUGAAAACACUGAGUUACACUACAUAACUACAUACAGCUGUGCCUAAGACAAGGCAGCAUAUAAGGCCACUUUGUUUAUUUUUUAGUUUGAAAUUACUUUGUAUGAAUGUGGAGUAGCUAAUAUAUGCCACAUUUCUUAAAGGAACACUAUAGAGUUGGGAGCACAUAAUUGUAUUCUUAAUAAUAUAGUUCUCAUUUACCCCUGCGCCCCUCCCUGUUAAAAAUAUUUUCAGUCACUUACCUGAUUCCAACACCGAGGUCAUUUGGCACUGUCUGGAUUUUCCUCCUACUGAUGUACAUGCGCAAAGCUUGAAGACAUCCAGCCUUGAUUCACUGUCUUUAACUCUGUAAAAACAGCACCUUUAGUGGCAGUCCGGUAUACCAGAGGCAGUCUUAAACAUGCAAUGUAAACUUUGUUGUUUCUCUGAAACUGCAAUGUUUUCAGCUGCAUGGCUAGGAGGAACAGGAACACUGCACACUGACCACUUCAAUGAGAUGAAGUGGCCUGGGUACCACUAGUGUCGCUUUAAUCUGUAGAAGAGUGUGUGAUUUACUAGCUAAUGGAAUUUUCUCAUUCUUAAAGGUUUUCUUUUGAUAGUGUGGAAAGGGUCAAUGCCAGGAUACUCAAUGUUCAAAUCAAAUGGAAAGGUCACCAUCAGUACAGAAACAGAAAAUAUAAAAAGUGUCAAAUAUUGACAAGAAUCACCCCCCAAAAAACCGCAAAGAAAGCCUCUGAUAAUUUAUAAAGAGAUGAAGGAGGCAGGAGAUGUUUGAGGAAGACAGAUAAGAAGAAAUGCAGAAGAAGGGGCACAAGGCAACACUCCUCAUGUCAGACGAUGCAAAGUGUGCAUUAUAAAAUGUGGAAAAGCCAACAAUUGGAAAUGUGCUUUGCCUGUCCAUUGGGACUAAAGGUUAAUAAGUAUCCAAGGGUUUAAAAAAAUAUAGGUUUUAUUUUGCUCAAGCUGAAGGAAGCAUGGUGAAUAGUUAGUGUUGGACCCACCUAAGAGAUUUGCCUUGACGUGGCAGGUGGGCUUACAUCUAAUGGCCACCGGAGUGAAGCAAAAACCCAUCAUUUAUUUAAAUAUGCAUAGGGAUUUGAGAGAGUGCGCUGGUAACUAUUUUCUUUAGUUUAUUGUAUGUUUUGGGGCUGAUGUGUACUAUGGUCGUUGCUGUUGCCCAGGAAUAGUGGGAAUCUGAACUGUUUCCAGUCUCCCUAUUUAUUAUAGGGGUUCCACUUCAUAUAUAUAUAUAUAUAUAUAUAUAUAUAUAUAUAUAUAUAUAUAUAUAUAUAUAUAUAUAUAUAUAUAUUCACUUUAUUGUGUAUAUAUAUGUGUGUAUAUAUAUAUGUGUGUGUGUGUAUAUAUAUAUAUAUAUAUAUAUUCACAUUUAUCUAUAUACACAUGCAAAUGUUGUGAUACAGUCUGCACUAGUUUUUGUAUUUCUUUUUUGCAUUUUCAACUUCCUACAUGAGAAUGACAAAGUACGGAUAUUAAAGAUAAGUAUUAUGUAGGUUUGAGUGCACCCCCACUGUUUCUGGUGUUCUUUCCUGUGUGAAGGCAAAAGAAUAUUUAGGAAUUACCAGAUUUUUUUUACAAGACAUCAAGUUAAUCCUUCAGGUUUAUAUGAUUUUAAAUUUCUUAUUUCAAUUUCUCUGUCCUGCCCAUGGGAAAUUGUUGAAUCUUGGAAGGCCAAGUAUGAUGGAAGUUAGAGGUGUUGCUACUUUGAAUGGCACAAAGUUCUACAGAUGUAGAGCUUGUCGUAAUAAGCUCUCAUAUAUGUGAGUAGGACCAUUACCACUUUAUGUAAAGCUAUCUUGUUAAAUAACUCUAUUACACUUUAUAUAAUAUUAUAUUAUAUUUUUCUUACAUGUAAAUUCUAUCAAGCAUUGGGUGCAGGCCGUGAGCAAGAGAAGCACGGGAAGCUGGGUAAGAAUUAGCACAACAGCAAACCCCUGUCAUCCAUUUGAGGAGCAGUCCAGUAGGACCCAGUCCUCCCCUUUUAUAAUUUUUUUUUUCUUUAUAAUUGUUGUUUUGGUAUAAUGCAUUGGGGAAAAAUUCAUACUCAAGGUCAAGUUCUGAGGAAGGAUAUGAUGAAGAAUGGUUGUAGAUAAAAGGCGGUCAAGAUUUUAAGCAGCAUACAAUUAUACAACUAUAUAUCUACCUGCGUAGAGUAUAUUUUACUUUCUUUUCAUUAUUAUUUAAAAGCACUCCACUUUUUUUCAAUUGUUUUAAAAUAUAAGUGUUUUGAAGUGGUAAUAAUCACUUGGAUAUCUUGUAAAGCAUGAGGUUAAUCCUUGAGAUCUUUUGUGGUUUUGAAGCUAUAUGACUGAUUCUAAUCUUGUGAUCUUCUGUUUAAUUUAAAGGAUGUAUUAUUGUACCUCUGAUAUGACACACAAUUUAGGUGGAUAUAUUUAUAUAAGGUUAUGCCCCUCUGUAAAUUUGUGUGCAUUUGUUGCUUUAAAAAUGUAUGUGUUUUUAAUUUCUUUUUGCUCAGUUUUCCUUUGAGUAACUGAUUAUAUGAAGCAUUUCCAACUUUUUGUAUUUUAUUUUUUUAUUAGUAAUUUGGCUUUAGAAACAAGUCUUUACUAAAAUUCACACUUGGCGUCUAGCAAGGUCUAUAUGGUUUUUAUUCUCUAAAGUCUCGUUUGAUAUAACACCUAGAGUUUAGUAAGGCUUAUACGGCUUUUAUUAUUUCUCAAUAUACCCUUAAAGCGAUUAUUUGCCGUUCUUUCUAGCCUUUGAACUGAAUAUUUAUUAUUUUUAAUAUUAUUUAACCUUGCAUCCUUAUACUCCUUUCUGGAUGAAUGUUGUUACUGUGCUAAUCUGCUUUGAUGUUUUGUUACUUUUUUGUUAAAAACAUACUUACUUUAGCUUUGAGCCUUAAUUGCAACAUGUAUCUACUCUUUAUUUAGUUUUUUUUUUGUUUGUUUUUGUUUUUUUUGUUUUUUGUUUUGCCAUUAGUGUAUACUGAGGGAAUAGGGUGACCACUCCCACCUCCUCCGAUUGGUUCAAUAUGCAGGAGAGGUCACCUGUCACUCUUUCACAACCUGUGGUCUUUUGAUUGGAGGGCUUUAAUUGAAGGCAGUGUCUAUAUCCCCUUUAUAACUGCUUCCCGUGUCACUUACCAGGUAGCUCUUGACAAAGGCGUAUCUAAAACGCCGAAACGCACGUCGAGAUAUUUUCUAGCCGAUGCUAUUAUACUCAAUUGAUUUUCUUUACUCUCAUCUUUCAUUUACCUGGGUUUCCACAGCGCAUGUGUUUGCGCCUAUAUUUUCUCCUGAUACAGACUUAGGGAUUUGGAUAGGCUGCCACGAAGCAGCAGUUAGUUUUGCCGUUUCUUUUAGGAUAGUUAGUUUUUUAGGGUGACUCAGAGGGGGGGGGGGGGUUUCUAUCUUUCCUCUCUUUGUGGGGUAUUAGCUCCUUUUCUGUUUAAUAUAAGCUACUUGAUAUUAGUUUGGGCGCACCCCAUUAGUUGCUAUUAACCCUGCCCUUUCCAGAUUCUCUCAGACACUGCUCUAAGACUAUCCUUUUUCUAUCCAAUUACCCAGCUGGGUCCUUUCCUAGAAUGGAUUUAGACUAACCUGCUUUGUUACCCAUUUAUUAUUUUAGGUGUAUUUUUACACCUUUAUUAAGUCAAACAUACCUUGCAGGAUUAGCCUCUCCCAGGCUUUUAUAAGUUUGGUGGUUAACUUAGCCAAUGCUAUUAUCCUCAAUUGAUUUUCUUUACUCUCAUCUUUCAUUUACCUGGGUUUCAACAGCGCAUGAGUUUGUGCCUAUAUUUUCUCCUGAUACAGACUUAGGGAUUUGGAUAGGCUGCCACGAAGCAGCAGUUAGUUUUGCUUUUUCUCUUGGGAUAGUUUUUUUUUAGGGUGACUCAAGGGGGGGGGUUUCUAUCUUUCCUCUCUUUGUGGGGUAUUAGCUCCUUUUCUGUUUAGUAUAAGUUACUCGAUAUUAGUUUGGGCGCGCCCCAUUAGUUGCUAUUAACCCUGCCCUUUCCAGAUUCUCUCAGACACUGCUCUAAGACUAUCCUUUUCCUAUCCAAUUACCCAGUUGGGUCCUUUCCUAGAAUGGAAUUAGACUAACCUGCUUUGUUACCCAUUUAUUAUUUUAGGUGUAUUUUUACACCUUUAUUAAGUCAAACAUACCUUGCAGGAUAAGCCUCUUCCAGGCUUUUACAAAUUUGGUGGUUAACUUAUAAUCAAUGCACUAUUUUAGUGUAUGGUAAUAGUAUUUGGACUAUAUACCAUUUUAGCAUUUUUUUUCUAAUAAAGGUUGUUUAUCCUCUUCUAUGUGACUAUUUACAUUAUGAGGUACUUUGAAUGAGGCUAGGCAUUCCACCCACUUUUUUGUGAGUGGACUGUCUGCCCCAUUUUUCGUCUCUUUUUUUUACUAAAAUUCUUUCUAUCUGUUUUGCUACUGUGUCAAUAUUUUAACAUUGUUAUUUUUUUUUUUCGAUGUGCUUAGCGUAUCAAACGUGUACCUAUCACUUAGCAUAUCAUCUAGUUUUGUAUAAGAGGCAUUAAACAUUUGGUGUUAUUGUGGUUGUGCACAUUUUUAUAUUUUACCAUGAGUAUAUCCCCAUUAAGCGGUUGGUUAACUUGGUGUAUAGGUAUGUGCGUAUUUUCCUUAAUCUAGUAGUAAGGUGGACAGCAGUCUCGUCACAUAGUGUGGCAAUUCCUCCCCAUGGACGGUAGAAGGUAUGCCCCUUAUCUUAAUGUGGUUGCGGUGGUACCUGUCUUCUUGCGCCGAUAAUUGCAGUGAGAGGGCCUGUUGGGCUGUUUGUAAUUGUAGUAUGGAGGCCUUCAUUGCGGAUGUAUCAUCAAGGAUUUCUUUAACUUCAACUUCAGCUGCUGUCAUCCGCCGUGUCACCUGCUGAAUGGCCAUUUUCAGGACUGAAAGUCAGCAGUGAGAAGUUUCUGGAUGUCUUGGAGCAUGGUGUGUAGGGUUUGGAAGUCCUGCUUCAUUGCAAGCUCUGGGCAGCCAGCUGUUGCUAUGGAUUGGUGUUAUGUGCACUACGGCAGGCUCUGUGCCUGCAGGCGAGCCUGUGAUGCAGCAUGGGAGACUCCAGUUGGAGGUAAGGUUUCCGCGGCUGCCAUUUUGGCUGGAGUGUGCUGCUGGAGCAUAGCUCUGAUGUCCCACUGUUCAUUUGCGGUUCUGAGUUGAGGCUUCUGUGAUCUGCGCCCCAUGGAAAGAGUAGAGGGUCCAGUGUGAGGUGGCCACAGUUAUGCCGUUUCCCAGUCGAGGUCCCCGCUCAGGAGAUACUUGAGGUCACGACAUGCCAGCGUGUAGCAGGCCCCAUGCCUGCGUUUCGGCUUAGUUUGCUUCGGGGUGUAUAAUGAUUCCUUUUUGUUCCAGAAGUUUGGUCCUUAAGGGGAUAAAAAGGGCAUCGGGUGGUGCAGCAAGACAUCCCCAGUUUGUAUCUGCUGUGUGUGGGGUUGGAUGGUAGCAGGGUGCCGAGAUACAGCGUGGAUUAUGUGUUGGGGUGUGGGAGCCAGUAACAUUGUUCUUUUAAGUAUCAAUUGAAGCCUUUGUUGCACUGAUAUAUCUAAAGAGAGAUUACUACAAGCUGAAAGAAAGCAAUUUAAGGGUUAAAAGUGGAUUGGUAAUUGUUAAUUAUAUAUAAGCAUGUGCUGUGCUUCCCUCCUUAUGUUGUUGAGCUGUUUGAAUCCAGGCUUUUGUGGUUUCAGGUGAAGCGCUAAAUACACAAAAUGCAAAAAAAAAUGGUCCUGGUUUCCUGGUGUGGUGGUUCCCCCUUCACCUCCAUCAUACAUACUUUUAAAAUGAAAAUUUAUUUUUAGUUAUCUUGGAGAGUCAUGAUGUGUUCACUUGGUGUUCCUCAUGUGGAGUCUGAACGAUAUCUACAUUUGGAUCCUAAGCAUCUUCUCUCCAAUUACUAGAGAGGUAACUUUCUCUUGGUCACUCAAUUGCAACCCCUCAUACCUCUUUAAGCCCUUUCUUCUUUCAUACUUAACAAACAUCUGCAAUGUGUAUCUCUCUUUUGGUGUUUCACCAACAAACUUUAUACAUGCUAUUAACAUUCUAUCCUAAAAUAUGAAAAUCAGUUCUGAAAUUCUGCCGAUAUGAACUACCAUUUGGCUCAAAAUUGUGCAACUACUCUAACUUCUCAGCGAUUGUUCAUUUGGUUUUGAUAUUCCCUCCACCCAGCUAAUUCCAUCACAUUGAGUACCACAAGUCAAGCAUUUUUUGUCCCUUUCUGUUUUCACUCUACAUGUCAUCUCUUUUAAAACAAAUACAUUUGUGUUCCAUUAGCUCUUAAAUGCUAACAAAACACAGACAUGACACACAUUUUCGCCCACAACCUCUCUCAAGUGUUCUUGUAUUGUGUCACUAAUUGCAUAUUUUUUGCCUAUAACUUGAUGUUUGCCUGCUCCUUAAAAUUAAGACUCUCUAAAAUGUUUUAGUCUUCUGAGCGCUAGCUCAUUUUCAAUCUCCUUUAAAGUUAAUACAACCUAUAACCCCACUCCACCAGUUUGCUGCCUUACCAUAAUUUUUUACUCUACAAUCUCUUAUUUUCACAUCCAGUCAAUCUACUAAUUUUGCCACUUUCAGUUUAUAUAAUGUGGCUAGCAUACCGAAUACUGGAUGCUUUUGCCUUCUUUCAAUUGUUACUCACUUUUUUAAAUCACAGCUCAAACCUUUGCCUAUUCCUAGACCAGGGGUAGGCAACUUUCAGCACUCCAGAUGGCGUAGACUACAUCUCCCCUAAUACUUUGCCAACAUUAUAUCUGUAAGAACAUUAUUGGAGAUAGUCAAUAUUCUGUUAAUUAAAUGCAUGAUUGAAAUCUCCCAGCUACACCUCUGAUAGGUAAUCUUAAUAUCUCAGUAUGUGUAGUCUUCCAUAAGAAAUUCCAAGCACAGAAAAAGACUCCAAGCACCAUGAGCACUUCAAAUCACUGUAGUGGUCAUGUUACAUGGAGUAAUAAAUUAAAGUGAAAGUCAUAUCUGAACCUCAUAAUCAGUGGUACAACUAAAGUAGAGAGGGUCAUGUUGCAAGAUUGUUUUUGAUCCCCCAUACCCCCAAUGGCAGGGAUGGAAAAAGAUAGAUGGCUCUCUGUCCUACAACUCCCACAAUGCUUUGCCAGCUGGGGAUCUACCAUUUGCCUUGCAGAGUUGCAUUUAUCACUGAGCAGUAGCAUGGUUUUGUAUGGAUUAUGUGUGUAUGUAGCAGUGUAUUUGUGUGUAGUAUUGUCUAAUGUGUUUUUAUGUACUGUUGCCAUUUGAAAGUUUACAUGUGUGUAGUGUUUGCCUUUGAAUGUAGAUGUGUGUCUGUAUGUUGUGUUGAUGUGUGAAUGCAGGUGUGUAUUUAUGUAUGCACAUAUAGAUAUACACUGCCACACACACACAGAUACACAUACACACAGACACACAUCUGGAUGCACAGAUACACACACAGGCACACAUGCAGAUACACACAUAUACACAUACUAAUAAACAUGCAGAUACAUAGACAUAUUCAAUGACACACAUGCAGAUACAAACACAGAUACACACACAUGCAGAUACACAGACAUACUCAAUGAUACACACACAGAUACACACACAUGCAGACACACAGGCACACAGAUAAAUACAUUGACACACAUACAGACACACAUGCAAAAUUAUUACAAUUUAAGCCACCCUCUUGUGUUCUACCUUUUUGGUAGAGGGGGAUGGCUUCCCUGGAGUCCAGUCAGCUGCAUGAGGCUGUUGGAAGUUAGAGGCUCUCACACUCCGCACCCCUGCUCUCUGCUAUUUUCACCAGACACGGUUGGACCUAUGAAUCAUUCUAUUUAGCAUGUACAACUCAUCUAUUUGGUUCCAUACCAUUAGUGAAAAAUAGUAUAGUUAAACAUAUACCACGGGGGGCGCCACGAUCACAAACAUGUGAAUAUAUUUACCACAUCAUAGUCAUGAAUAUUCAUGUAAAGAGAUAAAAAGCAGAAAAUAUAUAGUGAAGUAUUUAAUAACAAUUAAAACAAAAUAAUAAAAAGCAAGUACACUCACAAGUAUAGUUGCACAACAGGGACAUAUGUCUUAGUUGUGCUGAAAAGCUUUACAGCCCUUUCCUGGGCUAGAGUCCCUUCUUGUAGCAGGAUCCCAGUAUCCAAAGUUCUAAAGACUUCCAAUGGUAUUUCACUCGGAACUAGAUAUGAUCCAAAAGCUGUAGGGGCACUCACGAUCUUCCAAUUGCUUGACGCGUUUCGUCUAAUUGACUUUCUCAGGAGCUGUAUGUUUCUUCUUCUUCCGGCUUUUUAAAUAAUUGAGUUCGCGCGGCUUUCAUUAUUGCGCGCAUGCGCAUUACGGUAAAAGCUUUACCGCGCAUGCGCGCACAUCCAGCCUGGAACGCAAACAACUUUAUUGAUGUUCUUUUAAAAAAUAGGAAGACCCAUAAGAAAAAUAAGAAAGAUUAUAGCAUCUCCUUUCUAACUAGAUAUAACAAUAAAGCACAUCUGGUAGAGAAAACUAUCAAGAAAUUCUGGCCCAUUUUAAAACAAGACCAAUUUUUAAAGAACAUUUUACCAAAAAAAACCCAGAUCAUUUAUAAAAAGACCCAGAAUUUUAAAUCUAUUUUAGCUCCAAGCGCUUUACCUCGCAUCAAAACCAUGAAAGAAGAAAUUACUUCUGGUAAUAAAGUUAAUAAUUUUCUUAAAGAAAAACCAAAAGGUUUUUUUAAAUGUGGACAGUGCAGCACAUGCAGAUUCCAGAAACAGAAGACAACAGAAUUUACAUGUAGUGCCACUAAAGAAGUUUUUAAAAUAAAGAAUUUUAUAAGUUGCCAAACGAAAAAUGUAAUUUAUCUUCUUGAAUGUAAAUGUGGUAUACAAUACGUAGGUCGUACAAUAAGAAAACUACACAUUAGAAUCCUGGAGCAUUUUAAUGGUAUAAAAAGAGGGAACAUAAAACAUAGUGUUCCCAAACAUUGUAUAAAUUGUAAUCAUUUUAGCUUCCAAGAUUUUAGAUGUAUAGGUAUUGAUACGAUAAUCCCCCAUUGGAGAGGGGGUGAUACGGAAAAAGCGCUAGCUAUGAAAGAAACAGAAUGGAUUCACAAACUUAAAACCACUUCUCCAAGAGGUCUAAAUGUUGAUCUGGAUUUAUUAGUGUUUAUGGAUUGAAUUUUAUAGUAUUUUAGGACCUUUGGAAAGCUCCUUUCCAUUUAUUUUUUAAUAUUAUAAUAUUAUAAUUUUUUGUUGUUUCCAUAGAAGUUUUAUUGAAUUUUAUAUAUUUUUUAGUAAUUAUUAUCAUUAUUUUUUAUGGUAAUUUUAAAAGAUUUUGACGUUUUCGCCAUGUCCCUCAGUUAAACUAAAACAAAAAUAAAAAUGUUCAUUAUUGCACAUUGUUUUUAUUAAGCUUGAAAUGACCAUCUCUAUAGCUUGCUAUAUAUAGAUAAAGAAAAAGAAAAACACUUUUGUAUACAUAAUAUUGUAUAAAAUGUAACAUUAUGUCUCUUUUAUCCCUCCAUAGUAUGUCUAAUCAUUAUUUUUAAUCUCUUGUAAAUCUUCUAUUCUCAGUUGUAGAUUUUUAGCAAUUCUAAAGAUGAAAUAUGUAAUUUAUUUCUAAUGUUUUUAAUUCAGUAUAAAGUGUAUGCAUAACAUGUUUUUUAGCAUUAGAUGAAUUGUAUAUUACUGAUAUAAAUGAGGUUUAAGUGCCCACAUUCCAUUCCGUAAGACCAGGUGGUCAAGUACGGAAAUGUGUUCAUUGGCACAAAACAUCAAUAAAGUUGUUUGCGUUCCAGGCUGGAUGUGCGCGCAUGCGCGGUAACGUUUUUACCGUAAUGCGCAUGCGCGCAAUAAUGAAAGCCGCGCGGACUCAAUCAUUUAAAAAGCCGGAAGAAGAAGAAACAUACAGCUCCUGAGAAAGUCAAUUAGACGAAACGCGUUGAGCAAUUGGAAGAUCGUGAGUGUCCCUACAGCUUUUGGAUCAUAUCUAGUUCCGAGUGAAAUACCAUUGGAAGUCCUUAGAACUUUGGAUACUGGGAUCCUGCUACAAGAAGGGACUCUAGCCCAGGAAAGGGCUGUAAAGCUUUUCAGCACAACUAAGACAUAUGUCCCUGUUGUGCAACUAUACUUGUGAGUGUACUUGCUUUUUAUUAUUUUGUUUUAAUUGUUAUUAAAUACUUCACUAUAUAUUUUCUGCUUUUUAUCUCUUUACAUGAAUAUUCAUGACUAUGAUGUGGUAAAUAUAUUCACGUUUGUGAUCGUGGCGCCCCCGGUGGUAUAUGUUUAACUAUACUAUUUUUUUGGUAUUGUAACUGGGACUGGGAGUGAUCCCUAUUUUGGGGUGAUUAGCCUGCACUGGAAUUUGCACUUUUUCCCACUUACUGCCCCUCUUUUAGACAUACCAUUAGUGAUCCUUGCUUGCAGAAACUCAAAUUCCCUGUUAACUCAAUAAAGUUACAUUUUUACAGCAACUGUAUUCUAAAAUUAUGAACAACUUAUCUUUUUGAUUCCUUUUUGUCAAUGAGACGCUUCUCCAUUUAAGUUGGUGGCAGGAAAAAUGGGCAAGUGAAAAGAUCAGAGUGACUUUCACAAGGGCCAAAUAGUAAUAGCUAGAAGAUUGUUCAGAGCAUCUUUAAAACAGCUUUAAAACAAGACUUGUAGAGUGUUACUGGUAUACAGUGGUUUGUACCAACCAAACGUGGUACAAGGAAGGACAAUUGGUGAACCAGCGUUGGGGUCCUGGGUGCCCAAGGCUCACUGAUGCAUGUAGGAAUGAAGGCCUGCUCGUUUGGUGCAAUCACACAGAAGAGUCACUAUAACUCAAAUUGUUGAAAAAUGUAAAGCUGGGCUGCCAUGGGUGGAUAGCUAUGUGCUUGUGCAUCAUUUACCUGGAGAAGAGAUGGUGAUAAGAAGACACAGGCCAGUGGAGGCAGUGUUUUGCUCUGAGCAAUGUUUUGCUGGGAAAUCUUGGGUCCUGGCAUUCAUGUUGGUGUUACUUUGACAUAUACCACCUACUUAGAGAUUGUUGCAGUACACCCCUUCAUGGCAAUGGUGUUUCUUGAUGGUAGUGGCCUCUUUCAGAAAGAUAAUGCACCCUGGUAUACUGCAAAAGUUGUUCAUGAAUGAUUUGAGGAACAGGGCCUUCAAAUUCCCCAGAUCUUAAUCCUUUUGACCAUCUGGGGGAGGUGCUGGAACAACAAACCUGAUCGCAACUUGCAGGACUUAAAGCAUCUGCCACUAAUGUCUUUGUGCCAAAUAUCACAGGACAUGUUCAGAGGUCAUGUGGUCUUCUCUACACAUAAGAGCUGUUUUGGGAACAUGAGGGGGAACUACACAAUAUUAGGCAGGUCGUUUUAAUGUUGUGUCUGUGUAUACCCCGAUCAAGGAGUAUUACAAAAACACAAAUAAAACUUGCAUAUUAAGAUUUUUUUUUUUUCAACAAAGAGUUCCAUAAAACCCAUACAGUGUUGUGAUAAUAAAAUAUAAAUGAAUAUAAUGGGAGAAGCGGUUUUUGUUGUAGUUGAAUGUAGUACACAUAAUUUUAUCUAACCCUGGUAAUGCCUACAGAACCAAUCUGUAUGCAUAACAACUUUCACAUGCCACAUGUGAAAAAUGGGAUUAUGUUGCCACAUUCAGGUAUAUCAAACUCUACCAUCAGGUGGUCAACUUCUCAUCCUCAGUGCCCUGUUCAGCUCCAAUGUUGCCAUUGCAAUUUGUUCUCAAUAAGAACUUUCUCAGGGCAAUGACUGGCCACACUUAUAAAGUUUUAUUCGUAGUCAAAACAUUAUUCAACAACCUAUUCAUAUUAAAAUCCUUCGUGCAAAUUACAUUUUCUAAUGUACAAUAUUGGGCUUAUUUUUAGCAACAUCUAAGGGGGAAGGGAAAAAACAAGUGUAGCAAAAACGGAAGUGUAGUAAAAAUAAAUAAUCCACUUCCAUUGCUCCUACAAGAGAAAUGUUGACAUUUUUUGAACAUUGGUAGAGGCACUGGCUUUGGUCACCAUGGAGCCUCAGUUUUUGCCAAACCACUAAAAAAUUAUCUGAUAGAAAAGUGAGGAGAGAUGACGCCCAAAUACUAAUUGGACCAUAAUCACUAGAGUAAACUGUAGUGGGUACGGUGCCUGUAGUGCCUCUUCAAGUUGAAUAUUCCUUUUACGCAAAUCUAAGAUGAUAAAUAGAAAUAAAACCUCUAUUAAAUGGCACACAGGAUAUCACUAUGAUUUCCUUAAUAAAGAUUGUUAAUGAUUUACUAUAAUGAUAAUUACUUUAUUUGGACUUUCUCAAAUACAUUAUCUAAGGUUUUUCAGCUACUGUUUCUCAAGUAAACAAACUGCUACAAUAAAUCAACAGAUACAAGGUAUUUGUUUAUUGUUUGAUUUUUCGGAUAUCCUGCCUUGUGCUGCAGCUGCAAUCAUUUGUUGCCUUUAUGAUUGUGGCAGUUGUGUAACCGCAGAUGUAUCCCAGGCUCAUGUCAAAAACAUACUCACUUUAACACACAUCAUAACAUUAAAGGAACGCUCCAAGAGCCAAAACCUCUAAAGAUCGCUGUAGUGGUUGUGGUGGCAGGAGUAUCUGGCACCCUCUCAGAUUAAAAUGUCUACCUGUUUAGAUUGACUUGAUAACUUACCUCGGUCUUUGUCCUCCGGGAGGCAUAACCACCUAUCAAAGCUAGUGAGUAUGUGGCAGUCCCAGUUUUACGUAAAAAGAAUAAAGAGAGGUGGCUGGUCUCUUCUGCCAGUUCCUCGUCUGAGGAAAACUUUUCUGCUCCUUCUUCCCCUCAUACUCGUUUUAGUAUGCGAAAAAAUUAAAGGGACAGGAUCCCAAAAGCGGAAUAGUGUUUUCCUCGUUUGAGUCCCAGAAACACCUUCCAGAGAAAAAGGACAAAUCUCAUUGGAGGUUAGAUAGUCCUUCUCCUUCCUUUUCUGGAAUGUCUGAUCUAGCCCCUAAAUCACAUUAGUUACCAAAUUUGGAGGAUUCUUACCUUUUCAGUCCCUCAUUCAUUUAAAAGGAUAAAGGCCGUUAUAAGGCAAAGACAUCCUUUUCAGCACUCAAAAAAUCCAUUCCUGGCUAGAAGAAGCCCUUUCGGAAUGAGGGUCACCCCUAUCGGACUGCAGGAUCAUCCCGAGAAGCAUCUCACCAGGCCCAGUACCGCCACUACAGUGGAAAACACAAGCUCCCAGGUGGUGGCAGAGGAGCUCAUUCCAGAGGUGGUCCAGCUUCCAAGAGAAAACCCAUGCAUUCAAGUAAGUGUGCCUCCUCACACGCCACAAAAUUGGAAGAAAAUUUCUUCAGACAAAUGGGCUGUAAAGACUUUUCAAAGGGGUUUACAACUCCCCCUUUUAAGGUUCCCAGUUCAGAGGUUUGUACCCAGCAGAGAGGUGAACCCAGUGCUAGAUGCCUCUCUUUCCCUAGCUUUAAAUGAAGGGAUAGAGUUGGCAGACAUGUCUAUUACAGGAUGAGUCAGUUCUUUGUUCCCAAUUCCAAAAUCCCAAAAGAUGGUCCCUGGAGACUGGUUCUAAAAGUGAGGUCUCUGAACGCUUUCAUUAAAAUAAAAAGGUUCCGGAUGGAGGGUUUCAGAUCUUCAAGGCUUAGUACAGAAAACAUUUUUCUGCGUAAAGUUAGACCUAAAAGAUGCCUUCCAUUCAGUCCCUAUAGCCAAGAAACACAGGCGUUUCCUCAGGUUUCGGUGGAAAGGAAAGGUGUGGCAGUGGACUGAUAUGGUGUUUGGCCUAUCCAAUGCACCAUACACAUUCUCUAGAAUAAUGAAAUCAAUGAUAGCCCAUGUCAGACUAAAAGGUUACAUGUGUCUGUACUAUCUAGACGACAUCCUGCUCAUGCAUUCAGAUACCUAGGAUUUGUAGUGAAUUUACAGAAAUCAGUACUAAUUCCCACUCUAAGCAUUCUCUUUCUGGGUUUUGUACUGACCACCAGGACUAUGUCACUAGGUAUCCCUCAAGACAAAAUGGGACAAAUUAUUGGUACAUCUGACCUCAUCUCUAGAGUUGGUCAUUGAGAGAUCUGGCAAAGAUUAUUGGGAAAUUAAUAGCUUUAACACCAGCCUACGAUGAUCCCCUUUACUUUGCAGAAUAAGUCAGCUGUUUUUAGGGAAUCGAUUAAGACAGGGUGGCCAUUGGGAACCAAAAUUAUUUCUCCCCAAGAGGGUCAGAGAAGAGUUGAAGUCUAUUCUGGGGAUAGGAAUUAAAUCAGACUAAGACUCCUUCAUAUAAACAUCUUUGAGUUAAGAGUUAAAACCAGUUACCGACGUAAAAGUCCAAUCGGACAACAGAACAGCGGUGGCUUUUAUAAACUGCAGAGGGGGCACAAGAUCAAGUGGUCUUUGUUUGGAGGCUCUAGAACUUUGGUCUUGGGCUUUAGCAAACAAAGUUCGGGUUUACACAGAAUACGUUCCGGGAGAGGCGAACGAGCUUGCAGAUUCUCUCUCUCGCCAGUUUUUGUCUCUGGCAACAAUUCAAUUAAAGAUUGCUCAAUUCCAACAAAUAGAAAGUAAUUUUGGCCAGAGAAGUAGAUCUGUUUGCAUCCCAAAUGUCUGCACAAACUCCCAGGUUUGUCUGCAGGAUUUGGGCAAAGGAAGCUUGGAAAAUGGAUGCACUGUCCCCCUCCAUAUUUACUGAUGAAAGUGUUGGAGAAGAUUGUACCCUCCCAGUACAGGUGAGAGGGGCCUGUGGACAAGGAGAAAUGGUUCCCACUACCAACUGGAGCUGCAAUGAUGCCGCACGACACGGCACCAUGGAUGGUACGAAUCCUUUCAAGUACAGAGUGGAACCCAGCCUGACCGCUACAUGCCUAGGGUGAUGAGAUGACACUCACAGAGUCACUUGCUCAGUGAGCUUACACAAGGUGUUGCCUUGGCCAAAAGCCACUGACUCGGCUUACACUCCACCACAACCUGCCACUUGUCUAUCCUGUGCCCACUCCAUGGCACAUAACAAACAGGGUGCAUACUCUGUGCCCAGAAUAUCUACUGCUUGGUGUCCCUUUACGUCUGAAUAUUACCUUGUGAUGUCAGCAUGCCUACAUGUUUAUCUUUACUACUUUUGCUUGUUUCUGACCUGCCUCACACGUAUAUCCAUUCUCUAUUAUAUCUCCUGAGCAUGUAUCCUCUCAAGUCUUAUGUUUAAACCUAUAGUUCAUCCUAUUACAUUUUUUUUUAAAAGUGCCGUUUUCUCAUAUGCUCUGACUCUGAAUCCACCAGUAUGUUUACAAUUUGCAAUUUUCUGUACAAGCUUGCAUGUUAGUCCUUGCACUAUGAAAAUAAAGAAUUAAAAAAUAUAUAAAUAAAUGCACAAUUUUUGCAACUAAAAUUCCCUGUUAAUUACCUUUCGCCAGCAAAAACAUUUUUCAGCUUCCAGGUUUCAAAAAUUGAGCUGCGCAUUAGAUUUGAGUAAAUAUGGUAUAUAUAAUAUCCAACCCCAUUGAUCCUGUACAAAAGUGGAAAUUUGACAUUAUUUGAACAGUGGCAGAGGGACUUGUUGUGAGCACCAGGGAGCCUCAGUAUUUGUCCACUAAAAAAAUAUCUGAUAAAAAUAUGGGGGGAUGGCACCCAAAGACUCCUUGGAACAUAAUCAAUACAGUAAACUGUAGUAGUUAUGGUGCUUAGAGUUGCUCUUUAAAUAAAACGGUCCUUUUACCUUAAUUUAAGGUGGUAAAUCUGUGCUAUUUAAUACAGUUUAACCACUAAUACAGGUUAUUAAUGGUUUGAUAUAAUGAUAAUUAAUUGCUUUAUUUUGACUUUCUCAAAGUCAUUAUCUAAUUUUUUUUAGCUACUGCUUCUCAUGUAAACAAACUGCUAGAAAAAUUAACAGAUACAAGGUAUUUGUUUAUUGUUUGGAUUUUUCGGAUAUCCUGCCUUGUGCUGCAGCUGCAGUCAUUUGUUGCCUUUACGACAGCAGCAGUUGCAUAACCACCGAUACAGGAGUGACUGAGCACCCUCCCAGAGUAAUCUGUCAACGGUUGUAAAGGACCUGGUUUAACUCAUUGAAGACAUCCGACAUCUAAUAUUCACCAUACAUUUGUUUUAAUGCAGAAGAGUCAUGGGAUUGGCAGGAAUAAUUCACAUCAACUCAAUACAUCAACCUCCUGCAAGGUUAAAAAGCCCAAGCAAUAACAUGCAUUAGGCUGGCUGUAUCUUGUCACCUUAAUUCUACCCAUGGUGCAAUUACUUACACACAGAUUUAUUAGAUGCCAAAUUGCCCCAUGGAAGACUGUUAUUGAUUUUGUUUUGCAUGGUAAAGUAACACUCUUACCAAGAGUGCUUAGAGUGUAGUAAAUUAGUAAAGUCAACCAUGUUCCUAGCCCAAAUGUCCAAUCCCAAUCCCCAAAGAAGCCAUCAUCCUGUUUGAUAUCCUGUACUAAGUCAUGAAAAUCUUUUAUGUUUAUGGAUCAUAGUGCCAUGGUCAGAUAGGUUAAAACAGCCCAUACCUUCAAUAGCUUCACAGCCAUGUUUCAUUAGUAAGUAGUCAAUGGCUGCUCUAUUCUCAAGGAUUGCCUUCUUAUUUGCCUGGGUGUCCAUAAUUAGCUCUUCUGGGGCCUGGGAAGUGGCAUUUAAACCCUUUACAAGGGAACAGGCUACAUCAUUAAUUACUCGGGUAUCAUAAAGUGCUAAGCUUGGGACUCCUACCUAGAGUAAGCAAGGGCAGAAUAUUCAGAUUUAGAUAAGAGAGUGAUUUCAGGGUUACAAUCUGAAGUCUGGGUCUUCUUAACGUCUCUCCUGUCUCUCUGCGGUUUGUGUAGCUGGGUGGUUUCAGGGAUCAGGUCCGAUUUGGAAAACAUGGUCAUGGUUAGGCGUGAGAUUGCACAGGGCCCUCCUGUAAUGUUACCUGUGACAUAAGCAUAAGUAAUAUUUCCACAGGAGAAAGUCCAUCCUUUAGGGAGAUAGACAUGGUAGUGGUAACUCAUAACUUGGUGAGUUUUGGUACAAUUCACAGUGGUGCUCAGGGCUCUACAAUUCGUGAUAUUUUUCCUCCACGUGAGGCAUAACAGAGAUUUAGUAUUAGGGUUUAUUGAACAAUUACAUGAAAAAGACCAAGAUAGGUAAGCGGCUGUCACAUUAAUUGUCUUUAGGGCUAGGGUGGGUUUGCCUACCAGUGGGUUGAAAGCAUAGGAAUAUAGUUGUAGAGAUUUAUGGGGUCUAUGGGUAUGUAGGUACUUCCUCAAGAGUGAGAUGGGGUAGGGACAGCUAUAAGACAAGAUUGUAUGGCGUUUUCAGUAUUGAGGAGACAGUUGAGGCAAAAGGAGGUUAAAUUAAAAGCCUUUGCAAUCUGCAACCAUAUAUUUCCCUGCCAUACAUUAUUAUCUUCUGGUCUGAAGUCAGAGUAGCAUAUCUAAACAGAGCAUACAAUGGUAAAGGAUAAGAACAGCUUCAUGUCUGUGGAUCAGUCGGAGUGACUUGUUUACAAUGACUGGCAUGUAUCCUUGUGGCUUUUCCUUCUAGUUCCACUGAGGCAGCCGUAGUCAGGAGCACUUGGAAUGGACCGUCAAAGCGUAGUUCAAGUCCUUUCCUCACAUGCUUCUUUAUCACCACCCAAUCCUCAGGCUGCAGUUUGUGAGUUGCAGAAUCAGAGUCUGGAUCUGGAAUGGAAUCAAAGACAUGUUUAUGCACCCUGCCUAAUCUUUGGUGUAGGGGCUGCACCUGAAGGAUCUGGGGAAAAUAGAGGCCUGUCCUUGGGGCACAUCCAAAUAGGACUUCAAAAGGGGAUAGGCCAUGUCUGGAAUUGGGUGUGAAUCUCAUAGAAAAGAGUGCUAGGGGAAGGCAUUCAGUCCAGGGCUUCCCUGUGCCUUGCAUGGCAUUUGCAAUCUUGUUCUUUAAGGUGCCAUUUGCCCUUUCUACUUUCCCACUACUCUGGGGGUGAAGGCCUGGCUGAUCCCUAAGGCUUUCAUAAUUUAUUGCAUUAUUUCCCCAGUGAAAUGGCUACCUCUGUCACUUUCAAUCACUUCAAGUACCCCAUAUCUACAUACCAGAUCCUUCAGAAGCUAACUUGCUGUGACCUUCGUUGUGGCUUUUGACACUGGGUAGGCCUCAGGCCAACCUGAAAAAGCUAUAUAACAAAAAGGUACAAAUAGCUAGUAAUAAAUUAUAUAAUACAAGUAUUAAACAAAAGAGCAACUACAUACACGGAUCAGCGACUUAAUGAGUAAUAAACUCAGAUUAGAUAAAUAGGUAUGUGCACUUUAAAUAUAAAACCUCAACAAAUAUAAAAUGAAUAUAAAUCUUUUAGUAGUAACCACAUAUACAAAAGCUUUAAUUAGUAAACAAAACAAGCUGUUUCACACCCUCAGUGGCAAAAUUAACCAGACAGGGAUACUCAGAUAUAAAUAAAACAAUGGAUACAAAAAAACAACAAAAUGUAACAAUUUGUAUCAAUAAUGAUCUCCUCCAAGUAUCUCCACAAAGCAAUUGUCAUUCGAUACACUAAAAGACAAAUAUAUCAAAGACAAUUCCAAAGAAUAUCAAUAGUGGAGAUAGUUUGGAGAAAAAAACAUAAAAACAUAAACAUAAAAAUGAGAAACACAAAUAUAAAUAAAGAGAUAAAUAUAAAGAGUACCUGACCUCAGUGUGGGCCCUCACCAGAGGUAUAGACUGUGAAACAAUAAAAAAUAUAUACGAGUGUCCAAAAAAAUCCCCUAGAAGCCACUUGUAUGGGUGAAUGAUGGAGGGCAGCCAACAGAUACCGAGCAGACAAAUGUAUCUAAUAAAGGAAAACCCCCCCUUGUUGCUCAGGCCAACCUGAAAAGAGAUCAAUGCACACCGACACAUAUUCAUACACUCCUACCUUAGGCAGUUAAAUAUAGUCUAUCUGCAGUCUUUGAAAUGGGUAAAGUGUCCUUGGCGUGUGCUUACUUGGUGUUUUGACAGCAUGUUCUGGAUUGCUUCUAACACAAAUCAUGCAAGCUUGCGUGUGUUUAGCUGCUACAACAGUAAAUCCGGGUGCUACCCAAUGGGUGUUUAUUAUGCUGUUCAUGUGCAUCUUGGAUAGAUGUGUAGGUCCAUGGGCCAUCAUGGGGUACAACACUCGUGGUAGAUGCAGUCUUUUACCUUUCCUCCACAUUCUGUCAUCAUCAGGUUUUGCAUCUUGUUUCCUCCAGAAGUCAUGUUUUUACUUGCUUGCCUGUCUUUGUAAGCUCAGCAGUAUAUUGUAGUCAGCUGCGUCAUCUGUAAGAACAACUUGCAGGAAGGUAUUACCUGUAGAAGGAUGUACUGGGAUUGCUGCUUGUUUGGCAGCUUCGUCUUCUUUGUGGUUUCCUCUUCCUAAUUUCAUCUAUGAUCUUCACGUGAGCUGCCACCUUGAUGAUGCCUACUUGAGUGGGUAGCAGGAUAAGUGCACUCAUGGCUUCAGAGUUCUUGAUUGUAGUACCUGCUGAGGUGAGAAAUUCACGAGCCCGCCAUAUAGGGCCAAAGUCAUGGGCUAUACCGAAGGCAUAGCGAGAGUCUGUGUAAAUAUUAGCUGUCUUACCAGAGGCCAGUUUGCACGCUUCAGUGAGUGCCUUCAGCUCAGCCUCCUGUGCAGAGCAGUGAGGAGCGAGUGGUUCAGCUUUUAUUAACUCAUGUGUAGAUACUACAGCAUAUCCAGUGUGGAAAUUACCCUUCUCAUCACCAUAUCUGGAACCAUCUACAAAAAAUUAGAUAAUAGAGAAUCAAUUACAUGCGAAAAACCAGCUGUCUCUUGUGCCAUUAGUGCUGCACAUUCAUGGGGUACCUGGGCGUCAGCUAACUCAUCUGGUAAAAGUAAAUUUACUUUCACUACCAAACACUCUGGAACUCUGUGCUGGAUUGGUGACUAUCCGUGUCCCGCUAAACUUUGGACUUCCAUCUAAUUUGGGCUAGCCAUAUCCAAUCGGUUUUUGGGCAGAAUGGGUGCUCCAGAGAGACCUUUCCAGAUAUGACAGUGUUGUGGGAAUCUGGGCAUGGAAGCUUUGUUUUAUCAUUUUUUCUUAACCCGGUGCCAACGUGUCCUGUAGAUAAUUAAAUUACCAGCUCACAUACAAAGGUGCCAGGUAUGUCGCAAUCUAUUCUUCCCGGGGACCUUCUGUUGAAACAAUUUGCCUUAAUAAGACUUCUUAUUCGCCUUUCACUAAGUCUCGACUAGUGUUUGGGUGAGACUAAUGUACACUUGCAAGAGAACCUAACCUAUCUACCUAUCCCUACGAGGUACAUAAUAUGAGUACCAUUAAAUUGGGUAAUAGUAGGUAACAUCCCAGGAUAUACUUGAAAGCCAGAGUAAUCUGAAUGCACCUCUCUUGCUUAAAUACUUUAUUAUUUUUCUACACAAUGGAAUAAUGGCAACAAUGAACCAACUUGUGGGUAUACUGCUACAAUAUGUGACUACAUAUAUACAUAUACUAAGUCUCGACUAGUGUUUGGGUGAGACUGAUAUACACCCAUAAUUAUAGAUAGUGUUUUAAAUUGUGUGCAAUCACAUGCACACAUUUUUAGUAACAUUCAAAUGUUUCUGUGUGUGAAAGGGCAUGUAUGAAAGUGACAGCUAAUUAAACGCGUGACUGAGAAUACAUAUGUGACUGAGUCUAACUGUAAACAACACUGCAAAAGUUAGGAAAAAACAUCAGAGUUGGAGAAUUAUACAAAUCCAGUGCUUUUGGCCCACAUUUUGCAAUGUCAUACCUCAUGCAAAGGAUGGGUGUGCCAAAAUUGAUAGGGCAUGCUAAUUAGUAUUCCUUCUUCCUGGCCCAAGGGAGGGGGAUAAACUAACCAUAACAGAAACACAACUGUUCAUUUCACCCCAAACACACACUACAGUCCUUAAUCCCAGGCACAUGUAGCCAACUACAUAUCAAUGUGUGCUGAUACAAAGCACAACAGGAGAAGAGGGGUAUAGGGAGAAAAAUGUCUGUUCUUGAUCACAAUCAGGGACUUUGGGAUUUGGAGGCACUAGUCUAUAAUACACUGAUCAUCCACAGUGGCGGAACUACCACAGUCGCAGGGGUCGCAGCUGCAACCGGGCCCGCCACUCCAGGGAGCCCAGCCGCCCUGUGAACCACUGUAAUCGGUUUCCCACCGCCAUGUGUUGCGGCCCUGGCGCGCGCAGUAGAACCGCACGUUCAGGGGCCCAUCGGGUGGUCCAAGAUGUUAAGGCCACCGGAUGGCAAAAUUUUACCAGGGAAGUCAUCCUCCAGCAUCUAAAAGGCAGGAAACAGGAGGGUGACUAAUGUAUGUGUGUCUCUCUAUGUAUGUCUCUGUAUGUAUGUGUUUGUGUUUGUGUGUUUGUGUAUCUAUUUGUCUGCAUGUGUAUCUGUAUGUCUGCGUAUCUGCAUGUCAGUGUGUGCCCUGUGUAUCUGUAUGAGUUUUAUUAUGUGUAUUUCAAUGUUUUUCCUUAAGUUUUUGUGUAUAUGCAUGUUUGCGUGUAUAUAUGUAUCUUUGUGUGUCUGUGUAUCAGCAUGUGUGUCUGUGUAUCAAUCUGUAUGUGUUUUAUGGUGUGUAUCUGCAUGUGUGUCAAUGUGUGUUUGUAUAUCUGCAUGUGUGUCAGUGUAUGCACGGGUGUGUCUGUGUAACUGUCACCUCAACACACACACUGUCACCCCCUUCACCCUGCCACACUCACAAUAACUCCACCAAUCCUGUCACUCACCCAUGCCAUACUAACCUCCCAUUGCACUGCCAAAUUCACCCUAUUACCCUCACAUUCUCUCGCACUGUCAUACUUACCCCCUAAUCCUGUCACACUCUUUCUCCAUCACUUUGUCAAACUCGCCCCCUUUCACCCUGCCACACUCACCCCCUUUCACCCUGCCACACUCUCCCUGUCUCAUUAACCGCUCCAAUUCUGUCAUACUCAACCUCCCAACCCUGCCACACUAACCCUGUGGGGCGUGAAUGAGACUCAUGGAGGAGCUAAGGGGUGGGGGGUGAGAUGUAUGGGGGAGGGCCCAGGGCAAUCUUUUGCACUGGGGCCCCUUGGUUUCUAGUUACACUUCUGAUAAUCCACAACAUUAAAAUCUCUUACAGGUGAAGUGAAUAACAUUGAUUAUAUUGUUACAAUGAUACCUGUCAAGGGGUGGGGUGGGAACAUUCAGUUCUUGAAAUUCAUGUGAUGGAAGCAGGUAAAAUGGACAAGCGAAAGGAUAUGAGUGACUUGAACAAAGGCCAAAUAGUGAUAAAUAAAUAACUUGAUCAGAGUAUCUUCAAGUUGGCAAGUCAUCUGAGGAGUUCUGGGUAUACAGUGGCUAGUUCCUCUCAAAAGUGCUGCAAUGACGGACAACCGGUGAACCGGCAUCAGGGUCAUCAACACCCAAGGCUCAUUGAUGCACGUGGGGAGCAAAGGCUAGCCUGUCUGGUCCAAUCCCACAGAAGAGCUUAUUUACCUCAAAUUGCUGAAAAACUACAGCUGGCCAUGAUAGAAAGGUGUCAGAACACACAGUGCAUCACAGUUUGCUGCAUAUGAGGCUGCGCAUGUCAGAUUGCCCAUGAUGAGCUAUGUCCACCACUGAAAGUGCAUUCAAUGGGGACGUUAGCAUUGGAAGAAUCAAUGGAGUAAUGGAAGAAGCUUUCCUGGUCUGGUGACUCAUUUGGAUAGACCUGUGCUCAUGCAUCAUUUAAUAGGGGAAGAGAUGGAAGCAGAAUGCACUAUGGGAAGAAGGAAAGCCUUUGAAGGUGGUAUUAUGGUCUGAGCAAUGCUCUGCUGGGAAAGCUUGGGUACUGGCAUUCAUGUAGAUGUUACUUUGACACAUAACACCAACCUGGUGGUGUUGCAGACCAUACACACCUUCAUGGCAAUGGCGUUCAGAGCAUCUUCAAAACAGCAAAUCUUGUCUGGUGUUCCAAGUAUGCAGUGGUUAGUACCUACCAAAAGUGGUUCAAGGAAGGACAAUUGGUGAACAUUGUUACAUGCCUUUAUUUUUUCCUUACACUCUGACAUUUUCAACAUCCUUUUUAUCUUGUAUGCACACAAUCCUUCUCUUGCAUACUCUAUCAUGCCCUUGAAAUCUAUUCAGAUAUUAGUGUAAAUAUUUACAUUUUUACAGUUUUAUUGCUGACCAUUUAUAGACCACCCAGGUAAUGCAUCAGCCUCAGUACUUCAUAUACAUUAAUAUCCAAAUAACUAAUGAGCACAUUCCAUUAAUAUCCCUGGAGAAUAGUCACUGUAUCUUUCAGUAGCUCUGUUUUCAACAAAAUUAUACGAUAGACAACAUCAAACUAUUUGCAGGGGUUAUAUUACAAGGUCCGCUGUGCACUAAAUUUCCCAUGAUUAUCAGCAAGAUAAAUGAUUGACAUAAGAUCAUGCGGAGAACAAUCAGUGGUGGCUGGUGAAGUUUAAAGUUGGUUAGUCACUAAAUUCCACCCUCAAAAUCUGUCUCCAUUUGACUUGUUGGACCGAUGUAAGCCCAUGAUUUCAACCCCAAACAAAAUGAGAGGUCAUGCUCUAUACAUUGCAUAGAUGAAUGUAUUUAAGAAACAACCACUUGCAAAAUCAGUGAGUAACAUCAGAAAUCCCAUUAGACUAUGCAUAUCUGAGGGGUCUGUACCCAGAAAAUGGGGAAAUUCUUUCUGAAAUACCCCCCAAAUUGUGAUAUGUUUAUUUGACCAGUUUUUCGGCAACAUCUUCAGCCAUCAAGAAAUGGGGAGGAGACAGGCACAUUUUGUUUUUCUAGUAUACAUGUGUCAUUAGUCCUUACCAUGCCGUUAUUUUUUUUUCUUUUGUUGCAACAAAGAUUGGGAUGCAUUGCCCCACCUGCCCCUAUGAACCAGCCUGCACUUAGUACAGGACAAAAUGGAUAUAGAAGUAAAACAAAUGACCUAUUUAGCUAUCACUGCUCAUCUCUGCAACACAAAAGGAAAGCAUAAGCAAAUCAUACAUUGAAAAACAAUGUACAUUGUCAACAUAUUUCUUCAGUGUAUCCUGUUUAGAUUGCCAUUAGAAUUUUCACUCAGACCAUAGGCGUGCGCACGGGGUGUACUGGGUGUGCCUAGGCACACCCUAAUCCCUGCGGCACGUGCUAUGUGCCUCCCUCCGUGGAUCUCCCUCACCGACCCACAGGAUGUGAGGGAAGCAGGAGAGGACCCAGGAAGCUCUUGCCAGCAGCUCCGCCGGGUUCCUCUUGCGCGGUUACCGUGGCAACGCUCAGAUCUCGCGAGAGUGAACUCUAGCCCCACAGGGGGCUAGAGUUUACUCUCUACUGGACCACCAGGGAAGGCAGCAGCACAGUCCCCCCUCCCUACAUAAGGUAAGAAGGGAGGGGGGAUAUUAACUAAACGGCCCCCACAGCCCACACAUUACACACAAACAGCACACACACACAUACAUUACCCUUACACAUACAGCAUACACAGCACCCUCACACUAACAACACCCUUACACACACAGCACCCUCACACAUACACACACACAGCACACACUAACAGCACCCUUACACACACAGCACCCUUACACAUACACACUAACAGCACCCUUACACACAGCACCCUUACACACACACACAGCACACCUAACACACACACACACACACACUAACAGCACCCUCACACUAACAACACCCUUACACACACAGCACCCUCACACAUACACACACAUCCCACACUAACAGCACCCUUACACAUACACAUGCUAACAGCACCCUCACACACAGCACCCUUACACACACACAGCACACAUUAACAGCACCCUUACACACAGCACCCUCACACACACAGCACACACAACAGCACACACACACACAACACCCCCACACAGCAACACACACAGCACACCCAACAGCACACACACACACAGCACACACACACACACCAACAUACACACAGCACACACACAUACACACACACACCCUUACACACACAGCACCCUCACACACACACACACACACACACACUAACAGCACCCUUACACAUACACACACACACACAGCACACACUAACAGCACCCUUACACACAGCAUCUUCACACACACACAGCGCCUUCACACACAGCGCCUCCACACACACACACAGCGCCUCCACACACACAGGUGUGUGUGUAUGUAUGUGUAUGCAUAUAUAUAUAUAUAUUUACGCGGUGUGUGUGUUUCUGCUUUUGGGUGCACACCCUUAUACAAUAGGCUGUGCACGCCUAUGACUCAGACAAUACGGUGAACCCAGCUCACCACAUAUGUAGGUAUUUAUUAAGAGACAAGAUAGCCCAAUGCGUAUACGUCUUGUUUUAAUUAAACAAUGAAAGCUGAUAAUUCCUCAUUUGUAGCUACGAAAUGAUGGUAAGACAUUUUUUUCUGCAGAGUUACAAUGAAAUUAAUGACCUGUCAAUCAAGGGAUGCAUGUGACAAGGCAAAUUCCAGGCAUUAUUCAUAUCUUUGAGGUAGAAUGCUAGCUAUCUUACUUCCUGACUCUCAUACCCUUCCCUGACAUCACUUGUGCACUGUUACAGUUGCCAUAGAGAAUCAUUGACUGUGGAAUUGUACGCCACUUGCGGUGAGCGGCGCACAUGCACUUACGUUCACCAAUGCUUCCCUAUAAGGAGCAAUGGAUUGGCCUGUCUGUAACAUAUUCAUCCCCACCUUGCGGUAUCUGCGGCACGUUGGUAGACGCCAGCCGCUGUGGCCCACGUCCGUCCACGGUGAUUAUGACGUCGGCGUGCAUGUGACGUCAUGCAGGAGACGCGCUUACGUUCUGGGUUCAAAGGCCAAUUUUGGCCAAUCGGAAGUGUUUAAGGCUUAUUAAAAUGCAUUCUUCCUUUCCCUCUUUGCCCUGUCGUUGUUUCCCUAUUGGUUGUCCAAGAGUGUGUUCCUGACCGUUUAUUUCUGGUUAUUGACUUUGGCUUUGUUUGACUUCCCUGUAUUCUGGUAUCCCUGACUUUUGGCUUUCCCUCAUCGUUGUGUUUCAUUCUGUGUCCCCGACCUCGGCAAGUAUCCUGAAUAUUCUCUGGUACGUUAAGUUUGGCCAUUCUAAGGCCCAGUAAGACAUUACCUGUUAGUCCUAGGUGUGAUACAGUUCUACGUGCUGGAUCAACUUGUAAUCCUGACACUGUCAUCCUGGAGGCAAUGUAUUCCAGGUUUUGUUUUUGAACAGUUGGGGCUGGACCUAAUUGACCAAGGGCAACAGAGCAGUAUUGUUCAGAAUAAUGUACCUUUCAAAUUAAAUAUUAUAAAAUGUCAUAUACAAAUUAUGCUUGCCGAGUUUCUAGCAAAUAUAUUACAUAUCUCACCUAUCAAUGUUCCUGGGCACACAUGUCUAAAAAUUGACUGAUAGGCGAGAGCAGGAGAACACUCCAGUCAGCUCUUUCAUUCUUCUUUACAGCAACUACACAUAUGAUGUACAUUAAAAACUUAGUUUAACAAAACAUACUUAAUACAGUGCCGGUCCAACUGUAACACACUACACUAAAAUCAACAAUGUCUGGGUGCCAGAGGUACCUGCAUACAUUUGGAAAUGUAAAGGGGAAAUCUAAGCACCAUAACCAUUACAGUCCAUGGCUGAGAUUAUGGUGCCAGUACAUCUCUGUUCAUAUGUGCCAUAUGGUUUUGAAUGACAUUCAUUAUCUGAGCUUGCCUGGCAAUUGGCUAAAGAAUAGCAUCAAGGUUUGGGCAAAAUCCCUGAUUCACAGGCACCUUGUCAUCAUUCUAAUGGUGCUUCUAGUGCCCCUUAAAACACAAAUUCAACAAUUUUGUAUAAAUGAAUGCAGUUAAAUAUAUUUCUAAUAAUGCACCCUGUUUGAAUUCUAUGGAUCUACAUAUCAGGACAUAAUAAUCAUCUGUUUCUUAGCAGGUAUUAAAAGUAGGUAAACACAACCUCAGAUGAACAACAACACAUGACAUAUUGCACUGUCAUGAUUUGUUUAACAAAAAUAAAGCCAAAAAUGUCAUGUGUGAAAAACUACACACUUUUAAACAGAGUGGUGCUGCUAAUCAAAUGACCUUGAUUUAUUGGUCAUCAGCAAGUGUGACCACCUCUGUAAAAGCUGAAGUUUUGGCAGUUUGCUUGGCUAGAGCAUUCAGAUGUAUGUUAACACAAUGCCAAGGAGGAGAUACAUCAGCUAUGAUUUUUGUGAUAUCCUAAUGAGCAUGUGUGUUUUUUUUUUUUAUUUGUUUCUUGCAGGGUUUUUAAUAUUAUGCAACACUUUCCAUUUUUACUUGUCUGAUUCUUUAAUAGAAUGCUCAUGGAGGGUUCAUGUCCACUAUUACACUGAACUGAAUGUGACAAGUUUACAAAUGUUUAAAUGUUUUCCCACGACAAAGUUCAUGAUAAAACUUCACAGGAAGGCGUUGGCUUUGAACAUAAUCAAAACAUUUUUACAGGGUCAUUUGUGUCCUAAAACACUUGGACUUGGAAUCAAUGCGUGCACCACUGGUUCUAUAUAUGGAGAUUUAAAACACUUUAAAAUACUUAUCUCGUUUAAUAUUAUAAUGUAGUGAUCUGAGUCACACUCUCCAGCUGACAGAUGUAACAGUGAAAUAAAUCAUAGCCAACAGAAACAUUGAACAUUACAACACUGCAGUGAUGUAAUAAUCCAAAUAUUUAAGAUAGUUUUGUAGUUAUAAUUAAAAUGUACAUAUAUACAAAGCUCAGGAUCACCACUAGUAAGAGAACAGCCAUUUAUAAUGUAAGGCUACUUCACUUAAAUUUUCCCAUGACCAAAGUAAGAAUCAUAUCUGAUGUAAGAUUAGACCAAGCACUCUGUGAAGUGGAAAUCGUUGGGAAUUCAAAAUGUAUUUCAAUUUAAAGGGACAUUAUAAGCACUAUAGCAACGGUAGGUAAAUGGAGUGGUUUUGGUGCAUAGAUCAAGGUUUCUUGCAGUCUAGUUGAUCAAUUUCUGUCCAUUUAGGAUAUAAAUGACUUUGUAUAUGUAUAUAUAGCCCUAGUCACACCUCCCUGCAUAUGACAUAUACAGUCUCCCUACACGUUUCUUAAGAGAUAAUGGUAAACUUCCUUUACUGCAAAGUCUGUUUAAUUUAAAAUUUGUUUAUCGCCUGCUCUAUUAAUAGAAUGCCUGUAAAAGCCUCCUGUGUGUUAUUAAAGUCCAAUUAACAGAGCAGGAGAUAAAAAGAACUUUCUAAGUAAACACACUGUGUUGUCACAUCUGAUUGAACUUUAAACCAUUUUUUUUUUGUAAGCUGUGUAAGUCAAGCCAGGAGAAGUGUGGACAGUGCUGCAUAAACAAAAUCAACGGUGAUUUAACUAUUAAAUGACAGAGAAUUAAGCAGUGAGGCUGCAGGGGCAUGACCUAUAUACUAAAACCACUUAAUUAAAGGAUACUUUCUGAAGUGCUUUGUGUGUAAAGAGUGUGUCAUCUUUUUUUUUUUUUUACAAAAAGUGUAGAUUUCAAUAGAAAUCAAUACUUUCAGAAAUAAACAUUGUUACACCCCACUGGUUGUCAGUCAGACAACCAGCUAUGUUACUUCCUGGUUAUUUAGCGCAAUGAUUAUAAACUCUAGAUUAUCAUUGAGAAGUUUGUGAUUGGGCUGGAUAUGAAGAGGAUGGUUUGCAAAGGCUUCAGACAAGAGAUGUGUGGCUUUUAAAAUAUAUUUUUAUACUCCCAAUGAGAAAUAUCUGCUAAUCUUUGAUUUUUAUUUCUUUUGCAUUUGGGGUAGUGGAGGGUCCCUUUCAGCUAAAGUUGUUUUGGUGCUUAGAGCCCCUCUUUAAGGCUGAAAUAGCUGGAAGAGUAGCUGUAUUUGAGAAUGUCCCAGCUUGGCUAUUUCAUAUUGACUUUUUUUAAAAAUAAUUCAAAAUUCAAUUUAAAUUCACUUUGAAUUAUCAGCAAUCCUCGUUUUACUAAAUAACCCUUACAGAGUAAUUAACUAAACACUGGAUUUUGUCCAUCUGCUAAAUGUGGCCCAAAUCCUACUGGAAUGGCAAUUCUCAUAUUUACUAAAGCCAAAUCCGGUAGGAGUUCUGUAGCAAUCAGCUAGUUGCAUUUUGUGACUAAAUUGAUCAAUUAGGAUACACGUACGCAAAUAAUUUUUCACUUUUUGCAAGCGAACAAUGAUAUUAAGUGCUAGCAUCUAGUGGAUAAAUAGUUAAAAAUCCUUGGCACUGCAAGAGUUAACCAUGUGGCAGCUGACCAGCACUUGCUCGCUAGCCGCCACAUAAAAGUAUAAAAUAAAAUAAAAAACAAGCUUAUUUUACGAUAUAUUACUAUAAGGGAGGUUUUUAGCAUCCCUGUAUCCCUUCCUGCCAAUAGAUGGUGGUAUAUCUACUAAACAUUAAAAAAAACUAGCAACUGAGAAGAUAUUACUGCUCAGUCACAAGAAAGGCCACAUCCCAUGCAGAUAAGACCUGUAAAAUAAUGGGGAGUAUAUACCCUCCUCCACACCCCCACACAUGGACAUCAGUAGGUGAGGGCUAUUAUAUUAAAUAGGAAGGCAUACUAAUAGCCCCCAGUUCUCCCCAGGGGGUCUGGGCUACUAACUUUAUACAGGGGGAGGAGAGCUAGCGUCCCCUCAACUCCAACUCAUAGGUAAGAAGGUAGGGGCUCUAAUUAUAAUAUGAGAGAACAUUUGGUGACUUAGCUUAGUAGCAGCACCCCUGUCUAGGGUUCCAGAUUUAAGCUUUGGGUUCAAAUAUAAGUUUGGGGAAUAGCUGACCAGCACCAGACUGAAGACUUUGUUAACCUCAAUCUUAAGUCCAGGUCUGAUCAGAGUAAAGGUAAGCUGAUCAGAGUAAAUGUAAGUAAGUGCAAGGAACCUCGUGGCAUCAUAACAACUUAAUUCUGAUUAAUUUGUCAUGCUUCUCAUAGGGUCAUUUUUAACACACAUUCUGUCUGUCCUCAUUUAUUUUUCUACAAGCAUUUCACUAACUGUACAUUAGUUUAUCAGGGAAAAGAGAGAUAUUACAGGGUUACAUGUAGUUGCAUUACCCAUAAGGAAUAACUCUGUCAAACACUGGAAUGUGUUGGAAUUUUUUAGAAAUUCCAUUGCAAAAUAUAAGCAGUUGAUCAUAAGAAGCAGAUAUUUUAAGUCUAUAGAAGCAGGUUCCAUAAAUCUUGUCAAUAUACAUUUGAACUUUGCUAAUUGAGUUUUUUUCUUAAUGUAAACCUCUUUAGUAUAUCACAGCCAAACAACCCAGGUUGAGAAAAAUACACUAAAAUUAUUCAAACAAAAUAUAUAUUAAAAAUCUACUCUGAUGUAAAUUAAAUUCUCACAGCUUUGGACUCAUGAAGGAGCGGCUCUAGACUUUGCAAGGUCUUAGGCGAAACUCAAACAUAAGGCCCAUUAGCAUGUUUAUAAGAACCUGUAGAUAUAUUAAAUGGCAGGCUUACAGUUUUGGAUACAGAGAGGUAGUCUCUGUAUUCAUCUUUAGAGGCUUGCAUUGUCGUGGCUCCCUAUGCCGCUGUGUUGUGAAAGGCAUGGAGGCUCAUAUUAUGCAUUUCUCUUUCUUUACUUAAAACAUCAGCAAAGAAAAAAAAACAAUAGAAAAAAGAAUGCUUAAAAUGUAAUCUCCCAAACUCCAUCCCUAUAUAAUUCAGGAUCACACCCCUAACUUCCUCUAUCUUUGAUGAGCCAACAAUACAACAGCAAUAGAGCAAAAAUUGACAAGUCAUGACCAGGAACCAGAACUGCAGCAAACAGACACCUUCAACAUUGAGGUUGUAACCAAGAACGUGACAGGAAGAGCAGGAUCCAACAACAGCUCAAACAGCUGAAACUCAUGGAACAUCAGCUAAAAAUUACAAAGGACGAGGUGUAACCCAGGGUUAGACAUCACGGAACAACCAAUGGCAUCACAUCAGUUCAGACAGGGAUUAUAAACCACAAGACCAUAGAAUGAAGCAUGCAAAUGCUUACAUAAGACCCAUAAACAAAACAAAUAAUGUAAAUGUCAAAAAUCAUACAACACAAACCUGACCGAAGAAAUAUCAGAAAUAACAGAGAAUAGCACGGAAGAAAAUAUGACCGCAGUGAAGCAUAAUAAAACGAGAAAGAAGGAAGGCAGAAUCAAAGCCAAAAAGUGAAAAGGGACAAUACCUGCCUCUGUGUCUUUCAUAAAAUUAUGACUUUUUGUCAUGAAAUGGCAAAAUUAUGUAAUUUAAUCUCAAGACACGGAGGAUCAUAUUGUGCAAGUUCAAAGCUGCGCAAUCACAUUAUAGAAAACAUGAUAAAUAUGCUUAAAGUCAAACUCGUUUAAGGUAGACUCCUGUGACCAAUCAGCAUAACGCAUCAAGUCCUUCAAGUGGCCCCCAGGGAUACAGGUGCCAUGGACCAAGUGGGCCCCAAAUCGAGAGAUAUCCACACCAGGGGAGGACAAUAACCACUUGUAAAAUUGGAAACUGUAUUUUGCUUGUGUGUGCCCUGAUCGCUAAUCUGUGUUUUGUAUAUAUUUUGGUCUUUACGGCAGCAGCACUACUUAGAAAUGCAAGUUCCGGGUUUGCCCCUUAAUUCCCCUUUUUUCUGUUCAAAGCUUACUUGAUCUCAGAUAGAGAUUGAAAAUGGAAUACAGAUGUUUGUUUCAUUUGGCUGACACACUUUGUUUAGUUUCAACAUUCAAGAAAGCCAAACACUCAGUAACCUAGUAAUGAAAAGAGCAAACAUUGGGAGAUAACAGCUCAACCUUUUAACAAAGAUUGCUUUUUUAAAGGGAACCUAUAGUCCUGAAAAUAACAAUUUUGUUGGGGGGGGGGGGGACAAGUAUAAGUACUUUAUGUUGUUGGGAAUUUCACCAAUUGAUGUCACCCUAGUUUAAUGUUUUUUAAGGUUUAGUUUAAUAAAGAUUACUUACCUCAUUUUCAGGAACGAGACACCUCCCCUGCAGAUGCCAACUCCCUGUCUGUCUUCAUCAGCAUACUGUCAACCAAUCUGUGAUGUCGUCCAAUCCAAUGCUUCGCAUAGAGAAGCGCUGGGGGUGAAAAACACUUAAGAAGCAAAACUCCACACUCCUCCGAUCAAAUGCUGCUAUGAGCAGCAUUUGAUUGAAGGACUGAGUUUGACUAUUUUCUGGAAGACAGUCACUGAAGGUAACACCUUCAUGUUAACAACGCCCGUUGUAAAAACAGUUACAUUGAAAGGUUAAAGAGAAAGGACCUUAAGGGGGUCUUGAAUUGCAACAUUUAUUGCAUUUUAUAUUUUAGAAGCACAUGUUUAGUAUUGUAAACAUAAUUAAAAAAAAAAUGUUAAGUGCUAAGCAAGUGCAGUAGAAAUUGUUUGGUACACUGUCAUUGGUAAUUUUGGUAACCCUACUAAUGCUUUACAAAGCUGUAUUCCUGGCUCUAUAGCUCCCUGUGCUUCCCCCCUCCCUCGCGCCUUUCCUUCGUGUUAAAAAGAGGGUUAAGAACCCUUCAUUUACUUACUUGAUCUUGACGCUGGGUCGCGGAUCCGCCUCCUCUGACAUCCCUCAACUAAAUAGCUGCAGAGCGUGAAGACGUCCACCAUCAAUUACCGGACCAAAAGAACAUUAACAUCCAGAAAGUGCCUCUAGUGGCUGUAUGGUAAACAGCCACUGGAGGCAGACUUAGUUCUUCAAGGUAAACAUUGCAUUUUCUCCAGAACUGUUUUACAUUGCAGUACUAAGUGCAAUAGGGACAGUGCACCCAUACCACUUCAAUGAGCUGAAGUGGCCUGGAUGCUUAUAGUGUUCCUUUAAGUGUUCUGUUAAUAUUUAUACAUUACUCAAAACAGUGCUGAGCUGCUAACCAAUGUAGCUGUGUAAUUUCAGCAAUGCUUAUAAAGUCAAGGUUAUCCAUGCAUGUAGAAUGGGAAUACAGGGUUGUAUUUGUGUGGAGUGUGUGUAUGUGACUGCACUUUUCAUGUCCCCUUUCCAUUCACCCCUACCUCUGCCUAUCCAAUCCCUCUCUCCCUGCGCCCUUACUCUAAUCAUCCUUGCCCUUCUCAUCCUUGUCAUAUGACCCUUCUUCUACCCAUCCAUGACUCCUCUCCUUAGUUUAAAUUUAUUGAGGUCCUAUCUUGUUAUCAUACUGGAGGGGAGAGUCAUCAUCCCUGACAUUCUUAGUUUGAGGCAGCUAAGGUGAGCUGGGUGGUAGCAAACUCUAAACACUGCUGCCUCCUCACUUCUUCUAUAAUCUACACUGAUGUCAUGAAUCACUUCAGUACAAGGCACCAGGAUCUAUGUUUAGAACUUUGCACUAUCCAUAAUCCUUGAGAUUCCAGAGCUCCUGCCAGCUUCCUUAUUUCCAUAGUGGAAAUUCUAAGUCCUUGUAUUACAUCCUUUUAUGAUUUGCCUGAAUGAAUUUCUAUGUUCAAGUGAGAUUAUUUAUACUAAAAAUAUAUAUUUGUUUAAUCAGUGGCAAUAGAUAGAGUCCAGGGUUAGUUCACAGUUGGCUAAAUAAUUAGUCAUUCAUAAGUCUCGCGUUCCUUUUUAAGGCUCUCCCCCUAAAUAAAAAAAUUAUACAAAAAACAACAAAGCAUGCUGCUCAGCAUUGCUCAUGAACACAGAGGUGGCUCGUGGUCAGCAAAUUUGCUAAGUCUCCAGUUUUUGUAGAAUAUUUGAGAAUUUUUCCACAAUAAAUGGCCAUUGAAAACCCAACCCUUUUGCUCAAUCGAUCAAAGAAACACUGAAGGCUAGAGUGUAUCUCCAUUUCAAAUGCAUCAUACAACCAUUAAAAUUAUGAAAAAUGAAAAAAAUACUUUAAUUUGAAGUUCCUUUCCUUUGCUGUAACCCUUCAGCUUCUAAACUGAGCUCUCAUUAAAUCACAUAAGUGACCGUUCUACUGUCUCUCGCAAACACUUCCCGGAACCUAAGUAAAUAACAUCUUUCAUUUUAGGCGUUUGUUUAGAUUGCAUGCAUUGUUCCAGUUAUGCAAACUGUGUAGCUUUCUAGGUAUUUUCCGGCCAUACACAUCAUAUUUACUCUAUGUACCAGGAGUGCUCAGAUAUUUCUAAUUUCCUUUACUAAACCUGCUCUAACCGAAGCAUCUGUUUUUUUUACAUCUUAGUAAGAAUCUACUGUACACAUCACCAUUCAAUUUCAGCAAGGAAUUCUACAGAAAUGUUUGGAUCCAAAAAGAAAAUUCUAAUUUAUUUUAAAUAGUUAUAAAACAAAAAUAAAAAAAUAAAGCAAGGGUAAAUGAUUCAAGAGACUAUGUUAAAGGGGAACUAUCACCAGAAUUUUAAUGCUAUGUUUAUUUAUCUUCUAUAUUUAGAAAAAUAUAUUAUUACACAUUAUUUUGUUUAUAAGCUCUGCCACUUUUGGUAAUUUAAAAAGGACAUUGCACCUGUGAGUCAGUAUAGAGAUCUCACCAGACCUUUGGUGAAAUGGAACAGUUAAAAGCAUAGACUUGUAGCACAGAUAUGUCAAUGUCUUAUUUUUCAGAACCUGCAAGGCAGGAAAAGGAGUUCAGGAUUUCAGGAAACAAGUACAACGAGGAAUCAGACAGUACUCAAGAGUUCAAGAAUUUAAAGGAUCACUCCAAGUUCAUAGUGCACUUUGGUGGUCAUGGUGCCGGAUGUGUCCAGGCAAACCUUCCCCCAAUGCAAGUAUUUUAUCCAUUUUCUGUGAGGUGCACUCCCGCCUUCUAUGAGAGCUAGAAGUUCUCUGCAUGAGCUAGGCACAGUGGUGCAGGGCCUAACUCAUUGUGUCAGGGAGUGUGUGUGUAGGCAUGUAGGAGGCUGAAUGUUUACUUGUAUUUGUGAGUGACUGAGUUAAUUGUGCCUUUUAAUUUAAAUUAAAAUAAAUAAAUAAACCAAACUGUCUUAAUGCUAUGAAGCUCUUCUGUGGAUACUUUUUGUUCAUCAAGGUCAUUUAAAAAAAGCUGGCAGCCAAACUCAGGGAACACCUAAUGAAUUUUCCUUGCUGCUGUGCAGCUCCAGUAAGGUAUUUAACAGGCUGGAAAUUUUUUUUACACUUCCUGAAGACAAUGAGAGAAAAAUUUCUUUGAAAACAAAAAGAAGUAGUACAAAGUAGCCAACUAACAGGCACAAAAGGGCCAUGGGGAAACAAAAGAGACAAAGGGAGACGCAUAGGUGCAGUGGUGGAACUAAUGUAAAGUAGGUCCUGGAGUAAGACAUUUUUGGGUUCACCUCUAGCACAACGGUGGCCAAUAGGCACAUCGCCAUAUCCCAGAAUGCUUUUCCAGCUGGGGAUAUACCACUUGUCCAUCAUUUUGCAGGGUUUUAUUUGUGAGCAGGCAUGUUUUGUAUAGAGGCAUGUUUUGUUUUGUUUGAUAACAUGGGCAUGUUGUAUAGGUGCAUGACAUUCAAAUCCCUAUCUUCCAAUACCGCCAUCUGUUCAGGGGAGACAGUGGCAGGAUUAUUUUGUGUCAAUUGGACACAAAAUGUUUGCUAACAGGAGAGUGGCUGCAAAUAUAGAAAUUGUGACAAAUAUGUGUGUAUGUGUCUAUGUAUGUAAGAUUGUUUUUGGUUGUCCUCAAAGAGCUUGUCAGCUUGUAACUUUUGCCCUCCAGCUCUGCCACCUGAUGCCGAUCCUGAGGGGGUGGAACCUAUGAGAGGGGUAGGACUUAACAUGAGGGGGCAGAGCCUAGCACUGCACACCCUGCUGGCUAUGAAUGUUUUCAUGUUUAUGUUAUGUUUAUGUGAGUGCCAACUUCCUGUUUUCCAGCGUAAAAGAUGGUGUUGUAGCGUUACUUACCUUAUCCAGGGGCCGGCCGCGGUCCUCUCUUCGAGCCGCAUGCGGUCCUGCUGCUGCACGAGCCUCGCGCGGCUCAUACGACGGCUUCAAUAGGAAGGCGGGCAGUGGCCGCGAGAAGCGGUCACGUGUCCCGCCUGAAUCUAAGAGCGCGCCGCGAGUCUCGGGCGCGCUCUUAAAGAGACAGUGGUAGCCUAAAUUGUGGAUAUGACAGGAGCCAAUCACAUUAGUUUAGAAGCUAUUUAAACUUACCUCUCCCUUUACUCCCUGCCCUAUCGUGGUUUCUGUUUCAGUUCCCUUUAGCGCUUGUUGUGUUCAGUUGUGUUUUCUUCGUAUUGACUUUGGCUUUGUUUCUGACUACGUUUUCUCUUUAUCCUUAUCUGUUCUGGUUGCCGGCUUGCUGUUUACUGUGUACCAGACCCCGGCUAGUCCUAGUUUACGCUGUCUUUCUGUGCCCUUGACUUCGGAUCGUUCCUGACUCUGUCUCCUCUCAUAUACGUCGAGUCCGGCCAUUCUAAGGUCCGGUAGACGUAUCUCUCCUCUGUGUUGUAUUCUGUUUAGCUGAAUCCUGUGUGUUGGGGUAUAUUCUCGUUACAGGUUUUUAAUGAGUCAGUGUGCUGGAUUCUCUAUGUAAUAUAUGUGUGUUAAAUUUGUUUCUAAAUUUUUCUUUAUCGGCAUUUUACUUAUUUACCUUUUUACAAUGAGAAUCUCCAGAAGCCCACCCCUUUUCUUACUGUUAUCAUUAUGUCUCUUAAUUGGCCUAUAUCUCCAUUUGAGUGUCUGUAGGCUGAUUGGUUAUAACAGAUUGCUGUUACACUUAUGUACACUUAUGUUGAAAGCGGCAUUACUAUGCAGCCUCAGUGUUUUGUGGGAAUGAUUUACUAAGCCAUGUAAAUGAUUCAGUAAACAAUUUACUCAAUAACAGCAAAUUGUAUUCUAUUAAAUUGUAAGGCACACGAUAUAUGUAUACCGAAGGAACAUUUGUUAAUUUGCGGGAACUAAAUCAUUUUCUAAAUUUCAUAAAUCGUGUGCACUCUUUGUGAAAACUUUUCUGUCUUCUUACUGCAGGACUCCUUACAAAACACAGAAGAAGAUACUAUGAAGAAUUAAAUCCCUUCUUUUAAAAAAAAAUUUAUACUUAACGUUUUAUUGAUAUUUUUGGUGAAAUACGGGUAUUGGGAUACAAAAAUAAGAAAAGGGGAGGGAAAGGGUAAGGGGAUAUCUGAAAUAGUUUAAAUUAAUUGUGCAUGAAACUUAUACAUUUGUUUAUUGAGCGUAUACUACUUUGUCAGGGUUAUUAGUACAAAAAAUGUGCUUAAUUCACUAAUACCGGCUUUGUCAACCUGGAUCCUUUGUGGUGACAAAACCACAAAUUUCAGUCAGAGAGGACUGCAGUCCAUUGGCAGAGGGAAAUUUGGGCGAGCAUAAGGUCUACGAUCUGAGUAUCCAACAAUCGUUCAACCUGUGUCAGGGUGUACUAACAUCAGCCUGUAUGGUAUGGGCGUGCGUAUUAGGCUCUUGCAUGUGGUGGGAGGGAGGGGUGAGGGGAGGAGUUGGAAGGCAAAGAAAGGGGGUAUUACAUGUACUAAUCUUUAUAGGUAGAACUUUGUUUACACCUUGCUUGGAUUAUUCGGGUGUUUUACUAUAUAUUUCUAAGUAGUACGUGGCACUAUAGCUCCCCAUCCUGUAAGUAGCACCCCAGCCUUAUAUGUACAGGGGUAAGAAAAGGCUCCAGUGGUCUGCGGUUAGGGUGGUUGUGUCGAGUGUAGUAUGACCCAGGGUUCCCACGUUUCGUGGAAUUUUUUUUAUCUGUUUGUAGGAGGUGAAGGACAUACGCUCAAAUAUGAAAUAUUGAUGGAUUUUGUCCAGCAGUUGCUGUUUGGUGGGGCAGGAUGUUUGUUUCCAGUUGGCUGCUAUUAAAUUUCUUGCUGCAGGGAUAGUGAUUAAUGUCACCUGUUUUAGGGCCUUGGUCAGCUUUGGGUGGGAAAAGAAGUAGGCAGGCAGUCGGGUUAAGGGGUAUAUCUUUGAUGCCCAGAGUCCUAAGAGUGACCCGCACGUUGUCCCAUAAGGGUGCAAGGAUGGAACAAUCCCACCAUAUGUGGGUCAUCGUCCCCUUCGUAUGGCCACAUCUCCAAAAAAACUCCAGGCACCUCGGGAUAAAUUUUGUGUAACCUGCUAGGUGUUAGGUACCACCUGUAUACUAACUUCGUAUGGGCUUCUAUAUAGAAACAUAGAAAAAACUCCAGGCACCUCGGGAUAAAUUUUGUGUAACCUGCUAGGUGUUAGGUACCACCUGUAUACUAACUUCGUAUGGGCUUCUAUAUGAGAGUAACAGUUGGUGAUGCCCCGAAGAGCAUUGAUCGAGAGUAGCCAGGUUUGCCCGGAGGGGGAGGAACUGUAUUCCAAUUGCCAUUGGUGUUCAAAAGGGAAAGUUUUUUCAGGUUUGUUGCUUAGUAAGGAGCAAUAACAUAGAGAUAGUGAUUUGGGUUUUGUGGGUGUUUGCCAGUAUUUAUCAUGGAUAGGGUAUAUCUGUCAUGAAUCAUAAUGAGCAAGUUCUGUUUGCGUUAGUACUCUUGUAUUUAUGAUGCUUUUUAAUUGGAGAUAUUGGAAAACAGAGGAGUUAAGUAGGCCAUAUUUGGUCUGGAGGUCUGGAAAGGGUAGACUUUGGUGUUGGUGAAAUACAUCUGCAAUACGGGAGAUGCCACAUUUUGUCCAGGUGUUUAAAGUCAACCAUGGGGAAAGUGUGGUCAGCGUUCGAGGGUAAAAUUUGUUGUCUGUUCUGGUUUCGGUGUAGUGCAUACCAAUGGUGGAUUGUUAGGGUAGUAGAGUGAAAAGGAUUGGACAUGUCUGAACUGAGUGGUUUGGGUGUCCAUAAGGCAAGCAGCAAAGAGCCCCCUUGGGCUUUUACAUGCUCCAUGUCCACCCAUUGGAAAGUUCCACUACGUGCAUGGAAUUUUAUUGCUGCUUCAAGUAGAGAGGCUUUAUAAAAAUUCAGUAUGUUAGGCAAUCCUACCCCGCCUUGGUCAGUGUGCCUCUGGAGAAGUGCAAGGGAGAGUCGUGGUCUAUGGGAUUCCAAUAUAAAGGAUGUGAGGGUAGACUGAAGCAUCCCUGCCUGGUACUGUUUGUGAUGUGGAAUGGUUUUGAGAGGAAUCCGAAAUUGGAUACUCUCGCAUGUGGGUCAUUGUAGAGGGCCAUGAUUCCCGAGAUGAGGUGGUUGGGGAAGACAAAUUUGUGGAGUACUUGUGUCAUGUAUCGACCGGUUGAGUUUGUCAAAGGCCUUCUCUGCAUCUAAGGCAAGAAGAAGGCCCUGGGUUUGUGUCGUGUGCAUAUGUGUCAAUACGUUCAAGAUUUUCCAGGUAUUGUCCGAGCCUUGUCUCCCCUUGAUGAACCCAGAUUGGUUGUUAUAGAUCAGUCUUGGUAAUAACGUGGAGAGUUUGUUAACUAGGAGUUUGGCAUACAUUUUGACAUCAACGUUUAAAAGGGAAAUUGGUAGAAAGUUUUGACACUGUGUUGGGGGUUUGCCUGGUUUAGGUAAAGUCGAUAUGUGUGCUAGGAGCAUGUCGCUUGGCAUCUGUCCCGUAAUAUAGCAUGAGUUGUAUAGGUAUGUCAGGUAGGGUGAGAGGGUACUCGCAUAGGUCUGGUAAUAUAGGCUAGGGAAGCCAUCUGGGCCUGGUGCUUUUUGUUUGGGCAGGUCCUGAAUGGCUUUUUCUAUCUCAGGGAUAGAAAAUGGUGAAGUGACUGCUUCAAUUUCGGUGACUUGCAAGGUGGGUAGAUCUAUUGUCUGUAGAAACGUUUAAAUAGAGUGAAGACAGGGAGGGGUGAAAUUUAAGUCAUCUUUAAUGUUGUAAAGAGAAUUGUAAUAGGAUGCAAACUCGUCUAGGAUGACUUGUGGGUUGAGUAGUUUACCUUUUUGGGCAGAUUGUAUGUACGCUCUUCUUGUUUUUUGUGAGCGUGCCUUGAGCUGAGUUGCUAAAAGGGCACCUGCUUUAUUCCCUUGGGCGAAAUCUGUGACGGUAUAUAUGUAGGAGAUAGGUAGUUUUUUCUAGUUCUAGGGUUUUAAGUUCCUCUUGGAGGGAGGUCAGCUUAGGUUGCGUGUCUCUGGACAGGUUUAGUUUGUUUUUGUGUGUUAAUUCAGUAAUGUCGUGUACCAGCGUUGUGUAGUGAUGCUUGCGAAUCUUGUUUUGGUAGCUGGAGAGCUUAAUAAACGCACCCUGUAUCACUGAUUGUGGGCUUGCCACACUGUUUCAAUAUUUGUAUCCGAGGGGUUUUAACUGCAAAGUAGGACAUAAGGUCCUCUUUUAUUGUGGAAACCAGUUCUUGAUUUUUAAGUAGUGCAUUGUUAAACUUACAUGUACCCUUACCAAUGGAAGGGAAUUGCUCCCAGAAGGUCGGUGUAAUGGACGCAUGGUCAGACCACGAUAUGAGGCCUAUAGUGGCUGCUUGAGUUUUGCCAAUCAAGUGUGUGGGUAUCAAGAACUUAUCUAUUCACGUAUAAGUGUUGUUUACUGCAAAAAAAAAAGUGGAAAGUGUAGUCGAUUUCUUUAGGGUGGAGUAUUCUCCAGGGGUCAAUAAAGUCAUGACGUAGAAUAGUAUUAGACAUUUUGGAUGCUAUGGUUAGUUGUUUCUUUGCUGUGUGUGCGUGGACUAAGUGGGUAGAUGUUGUAUCAGUAGAGGUAUUCAUGUGGAAGUAUGUGUCGCCUCCUGGUAUGACUUCACUAAAUUGGUAAAGUGAGAUUAAGCUAAACAGUUUGACAAAAACUCCUAUUGGUUUUCGUUUGGACCAUAAAUAUUGACUAGCGUGUAGUGGGCAUUGUCUGUCUUGUUUAUCGCUUAUCUUUUUAACUAGUGUUAAGGAGACAUUCUUACUGAUCAGUGUGGAUACUCUGCGUUUUUUUGUUUUGAAGCAGGAAUGGAAGUCGUGGGGAAAGAGGGCAGAGCAGAAUGUAGGCUUGCCUCCCCAUUUAAAAUGGGUUUCCUGGAAAAAGGCCACUUGUGCUUUAUGAUUUUUCAUUUCUGCUAAGGCUAAGCUCCCCUUGUUGGGCCAAUGUAAGCCCUUAGUGUUUAAAGAUAAUAUUGUGAUGGUCAUUGGUAUUGAGUGUGGUUUCUUGCAUUGACACACAGGAAGUCCCUUCCCCACUGCACUCUUCUUGUUCUAGCCUGGACCUCUGUCAAAAUAAUCAGAGUCUAGUCUGGGAAAUGAAAAAUGCCAUACUGGCAGUUUGGAUUUGAUCGGUGUAUCGAGGGGCAAGGGUAUGGACUGUUGGUCCGGACAAUGAUAAUCCCGGGUCAUAUGGAAUAGGUGUACAUAGUGUGUACAUAGCCCAUCAAUAGAGCAAUUUCGUACAUGUGUAGGUUGCAGACAUAAGUAAAAAUUAAACAUUAUAAACAACAGAACUACAUACAAAGAGCCGUUGAAGAUGGUACAGUGUAGUACAGACGGCAUAUGUAAGGCUAUACAUAGCAUGCUGGGGGGUAGGUUUGUCUCCCUACAGGAGAUCAUUGCUGUGUCGUGGGAAGUCUAGAGGUGUAUAAUCUCUAGUGUGGUGCAGAUUUCCUUAAUAAAGCCUUGAACUGAAUAAUAUAGAAUUUUAAAUAAUAAGCAUGUGAUAUGUUAGGCCUCAGUCCGUAUGUGAGGUCAGGUUUCUGUCGUGUGAAACCUAGUCACUUAGCUGUGGAUGUGGUAUUCCAGACUCUGGAAAUUCUUGUUGGAGAACGGUGGGUCGGUGGUAAGCUUCCAUACUCCAUACAGUUUGUGUCCAUCUUCAAGUGUGAAGAUAUGUUUUUCUGUUCCGUUGCGUCGAAUCAUGCGCCGAGCUGGGAAUCCCCAUCGGUAGAUGACUCCGGCUUCUCUCAAGACUGAUGUUAUGGGUGUCAAGGCUUUCCUCUUGAGGAGCAUGGCAGCAAAGAGGUCAGCAUAUAUCUCUGAGAAUUUGUCUGGCAAGGUCUGUAGGAGUUUAGAGGCUUUCAUAUUUUUUUCCUUUGAGGUACAUCACGUGGGAGAGAUGUAGGUAGAUUUCUUGGCCUUGGGAGUCGGUGGAGUCUAUUGAGCAGGAGGUCUUGCGUGGACAAUUCUGGUACCAGCGCUGCGAAGAGGACUGUGGCGUAUGUGUUUAGGUCCUGGGAGGCUAUGUCUUUAGGUACCCCCCUCAGACGGACAUUGCUUCUCCCGCCACUUUGUCUGUGAGAGAGUCCGGUCUGGCUGUGAUAUCUGUGAAGGCGUCAGCCAAGGUAUUGUGGGGACGGAUAAUUUUGUCUGUCUUGUCUUCAAGAUGUGCAGUAAUCUUACCUAAGGUUUGUAUGUCUGAUUUGAUGUCACGGCAAGUUUUUCCAACGCCAAUUGCAUAGAGCUUUUGAGCUCUGACAGCAUUUUGUUUAUCGAUGGGUCUGUCGCCGGAGUAAACGCAGGCACCGAAAUGGACGUGCUAUCACUAUUAUCAGAGUAUGAUGCUGGAGAGCUCGGGCUAUCAGUGCCAUCUUGGUUUCUCACACACGGCGAGGCCAGCACUGAUAUAAGCAGAUCCGCCGGUUUUUGCUUGUUUUUAUUUUACGGAGCGAUGUGCCAUGGAAGUCGGGCACUUAAGUUACCAUAAUAGAGCUUAUUGUGGGAAACUGAAUGCUUGUUUAGUCGCUGUGCUUGGUCUCGAUGUAUCGGAGCUCAUGGCUUACACGGUAAUCUUGGUCAGAUGUGAGACCACGCCCAUAGUUAAAUACUUUUGAGUUAUUAUACAUGUAGAAUAUUUAAAUUAUUUUAAAUUAAAAAAUUACACUGUAAUCUUCCAUCUGCCGGUUUUCCCCUUCCCAAUUGCUUAAUGAUAAUAUUGACAUGGACAUACCGUUUGAACCUAAGUAACAGAGUUUUUAGGUGGGGGGCAGUGUUGGCCAUCUGCCAUGGCCUAGCAAGUUGGGACAGUGAAAGUGCGGUCACUAGGAGCUUUGGCGUUAUAUUGGAGUGUCCUUCUCCUAGAUGAAUGGCUUGACAGGUCUAUGAGCUUCAUCUGCCUGAGUUUGGGCCAUUUAUGGCCAGCAUGCAGGAGUCAGCAUGCAUGACUAAGGUGUUGGACACUAGUUUGUCUGACUUCUCAGUUAAGACAACUUGGAGGCACCCUCGGUCCAAAGAUUGACACCUUAUAGAUUAAAUCAUGGUGUGCCAAAGAGACAUUUGAGACGUCCUAUUUACUCAAGUAAUGCCCAGUGCAGAGUGUCAUAUGGACCAUCAUCUUGUAAGAUGUAAGCUAUGUCUCCACUUACAACGCAAGGAGCUCCAAACAAAAGGUAUCAGAUUGGUAAUUUCUAGUCAGUUGAGGUGAAUGCUGAAUUUCAAGCAGUUCAGUUGAGGCUCAACGUUUGCAGCUGCUUUGUGAACCCCUUCUCAAAAGAGCUUUGGGAAGUUCUAAAAUUGGCCACCCAGAAGAUUUCGAAGAGGUUUAAGGGUUCACAACAAAGAAGAACAAAGAUUGGUUUGAUGAGAACAAUCAGGAGAUCCUGAUGCUGAUGAAAAAGAGAUCUGCUCACCAAAAGCACCUUGCUUAACCAUCUUGCCAUCAUGAGAUAGAAGCCUUCCACCUUGUAUGCAGAAACCUCCAGUGCAAGCUCCAAGAGAUUAGGAAUAAGUGGUAGACAAACCUUGCAGAGAGAACUCUGCUUUGUGCAGAUGUUGGUGACUGCAGAGGGUUUUUGAAACCCUGAAGGCAGUGUACGGUCCUUCACACAAACAGUGCAGAUGGUCAAACACUCCUCACAGAAAAGGCGCCAUCCUGAAACUAGUUCCAGUCGCUCUUCAGCAUCAACUGCAUGGUACAUGUAUCUACACACCAUCGCAUCCCACAACAGCCCAAAAAAAGUUGGACAAGAUUUUUACUCUUGAAGAGACUGUUAAGGCUAUUAAGUUUGGAAGUAUGUAAAGUACACACUAACUUCAUGAUUUCUUUGUCUGCUGCUGGGAACAAGGCAAACUACCUCCAGGACCUCCUUGAUAAAACAUUCAUCACCAUGUAUAAGAACAAGGGACAAAAGUCUGACUGCUUAAACUAUCGGGAUAACACCUGUCGCAGGAAAAAUCUUUGCAAGGGUACUUUUGAACAGAUUGGCACCCACCAUUAUAGAAGAACUCUUUGCAGAGAACCAAUGCAGCCUCAGAGCUAGAAGGAGCAAGAUCGACUGGCAUUUGUUCUCAGUCAGCUCCAUGAAAAAUGUUGGGAACAGAACAAGGCAUUGUACAUGACGUUCAUAGACCUCACCAAAGUGGUCAACACUGUGAGCAGAAAAGGUAUGUGGCAAAUCUUGGAAUGCCAAGGAUGACCUCCUAAAUUCCUCAAUAUGAUAAUUCAGCUACAUGAAGGUCAACAUGGCCAAGUCAGCCACAGCAAUGACGUCUCGAAACCCUUCCUUAUAGGCAAUGGUGUAAAACAAGGCUGUGUUCUUGCACCAACUCUCUUCACAAUCUUUUUUUAGUUUGAUGCUUCAAAAGGCCACUGAAGAGCUUGAUAAAGAGGAUGGUGUCUAUAUCCAUUACCCCACUAAUGGCUGCGUAUUUAACCUGAGGCAACUACAGGCCCACACCAAGAUGGUGGACCAACUCAGAGAGCUGCUUUUCACUGACAAUGCUGCCCUUGUUUCCCACAUUGUGACAGCCUUGCAGCAAAUAACAUCCUGCCUCAUGAAGUUUACCAUUUCCCUCAUAUCACCAUUUGUGCAUCGUAGCUGAAGACAGUCCAUCAGUUCAGCUACGUUGGUUGCAUCAUCUCUUAGGACGCCAAUAUUGACAAAGAGAGAGAUAGCAGACUGGAAAAGUCAAACAGAAUAUGCAGCAGACUGUAUGAGAGUCUGCAUAACAAACAUCUAAAGAGUGGCACAAAGUCUUUGGUUACCUAUCGUCAUCACCUGUGACUCCUUGAGUACUUUCAUCAAUGCUGCCUUGGCACAAUACUUAAAAUCCAUUGUAAUGACUUCAUAACCAGCGUUGAAGUUCUUGAACAGGCAGAGACAACCAGUCUCUGAAGAUCAUUGCCUACCUAAGGUUGUGCUGUAUGGUGAACCCACCACUGGGCACAACAACAGUGGAGCACCAAAGAAGAGGUACUAGGACUCUCUGAAGAAAUCACUUUGUGCCUGUCAUAUUGACCAUUAUCACUGGCCUGCUCUAACCUUUGAUCACGAGAAUUGAAGACAUACCAUUCAUCAGGCUAUCUCCUCUUUCGAGAAUGCUUGCAGGGCAGAUAUUGAGUAUAAAAAGAAACAGAGGAACCUUGACAUUGUGGCAGAGUCAGACCAGAUUUUCCCUUCCAGCUGCUGAAGCUAGAUCUGCCUUUGGCUCCAUCAGCCAUGGGCUUGUCUGCAGCAGUAAUGGACAAACUGCUUCCUAAAUCUUCAAGCCAAGAAUUACAUUCAAACAAAACAAAAACAAAAAUUCCAGCUUUUACUAAUCACUGUCAGCAUUGACACAUUGGUAAACUUGUCAGUGUUGUAUCCUUCUGUAGGAUUUUAGAUGUGUUAGUGAAGAAGCAGACAAAUUCACAUUUUUUAAUUGGGUGAAUUGUGGCCCAUGUUGUAACUGGCAUGCAAACCAGCCUCUCUGAAUAUGCCAAUCAAUCUAAUUUUUCUUUGCUUCACUCCUGCUGUAUGCAAGGUGGAUGGAGGUAAACAGAGGAACAAGGUUGAUACUUUAAUUAUGCUAAUGCAGCUUCUAUUACAAGUUGCAGCUUUGAAACCUUCUAAAAGGUAAACUUUAACCUCACAGAAGCCUGCAAUUCAGAAGGUAACAGCUUCUCACUUCCUGAAAGAUGCUUCAUGUGAUAUUUCCAAUGCAUGCUCUCCAGAAGUAUUCAGAAGUUGUUGCAAAUGCCUUGGGCAGUGAUCUCUACAAUUAGACCAACUUAAGUACUAUUGGAAUUUAUGGAAGAAAAUGUUAAAAAAAGAAAAAGCAUACUCCCUUUAAAAUAGACCUACUAUAGACAUACAUUGUUUUAAUUUAGAUUAAAAACCAUGUAAUUAACUAAAUGUUGCAACACCUUAUUAUAGGUCUAAAUACACUGCCUGGCCAAAAAAAAAAGGUCAAACACUCUAAUAUUUCGUUUGACCACCUUUUAUUUUGAUUAUGGCAUGCAUUCAUUGUGGCAUUGUUUCGAUAAGCUUCUGCAAUGUCACAAGAUUUAUUUCCAUUCAGUGUUGCAUUAAAUUUUCACCAGGAUCUUGUAUUUAUGAUGGAGAGUUGGACCACUGCACAAAGCCUUCUCUAGGCCAUCGCAAAGAUUCUCAAUGGGGUUAAGCCCUGGACUCUGUGGUGGCCAAUCCAUGUGUGAAAAUUAUGUCUCAUGCUCCCUGAACCACUCUUUCACAAUUCGAGCCUGAUGAAACCUGGCAUUGCCGUGCCAAUAUGGAAGAAAAAAUCCAUUGAUGGAAUAACCUGGUCAUUCAGUAUAUUCAGGUAGUCAACUGACCUCGUUCUUUGGGCACCUAAUGUUGCUGAACCUAGACCUGACCAACUGCAGCAACCCCAGAUCAUAGCACUGCCCCCACAGGCUUGUACAGUAGGGACUAGACAUAAUGGGUGCAUCACUUCAUCGGCCUCUCUACUUACCCUGAUUCGCCCAUCACUGGUGGUUUCCCACUAUCCUUCCUGUUUUUAACCCAAAUUUAGUAGUUUCUGCUAUCUCCUUAGAUAUUUUCUCUGCUUGAUGCAUGCCAAUGAUUUGACCCUUCCCAAACCGACUAACAUCUUUUCCACAACCACAGGAUAUGUCUUUCGACAUGGUUGUUUAAGAAAUGAGAAGCUACUCAUUGCACCAGCUGGGGUUAAAUAACUUGUUGCCAGCUGAAAGAUAAUCGCCCAUGCAGUAACUAUCCAAUAAGAGACUCUUACCUAUUUGCUAAGUUAAAUCCAGGUGGAAAUACAUACUGUGGCAGUAUACCCUUGAGAAGAUGGGUUACUACUGCCUAGGUCAGGGAUAGGCAACCUUCGGCACUCCAGAUAUUUUGGACUACACCUCUCAUAAUGCUUUGCUAGCAUUAUGGGUGUAAGAGCACUAUGGGGGAUGUAGUCCACAACAUCUGGAGUGUCGAAGAUUGCCUAUCCCUGGCCUAGGUUGUCCCUAUCCAGUUGUGAAUAACUCCAGAGUGAUUAUACCAUCCUGAACAGAAUACUGCUGUGUCACCUAAACACCAGCCAAGACUUAGUGAAGGGUGAAGAAGAACUGGUUUAUUAGCUAUGGCUAGCCCGAAUUAGGGAGAAGUAUAAAGUUUCAGUGGAACAUGGAUAGCCGCCGAUGCGACACAGGGCUCCAGAGUGCUUGGUAGAGUUUCCUGGUCACCUUAAACCACUGCGCUUUUCGUGAGUACAUGAAGCUCUCCCAAAUCAUCCUUGGUGUGGUUCAAUGCCUCUCCACCUCCUCUGUUUAUUCUCCAAAGAGCACCCUGAUUGAGUGUUCUGUGAAUAAAAAGCACUCUGAUGAAAGUUUUAGCAGACUGCGGUGACUCUGAUAUCCAUUUCAGAGUUCCAGUGUAAUUUAGAGUCAGGGUAAUUUAGAGUCAGGGGCACCAUGUCUCAGCACUCCAGUUGGUGAAAGAUGUGCCAUUCUGGAUAGCCAUGAAAGAGUCUGGGCAGGGAGACAUGGGCUGGAGGGUUAGUCCAUAGUGAAUAUAGUCUCUUUGGAGAAGGUAGGGUGUCAGGGAGACAUGGACCCAACCUAGUUGACCAGAGGAUUUGUCACACAUGCCUGUGCAACAAAGUUACAAAAAAAUAAAAUAAAAGAUGCCUUCUAAUUUCUUGCUUCAACUCCAAGACGUUUUGAAUGCUUGUUUGGUUUUCAUAAAAGCUGGAUCACAAUUAAUCUCUAACCCCUAUUGUGUGUGAACAUCACACUAGGAUUUCAGUAAUCAAAAUGUAAUUCAUUUUAUUAACAGCAUCUAGAUAUAAAUAAAUAAAUUAAACACUUUACGGGGUCUUACUAGAUACAGCUUUAUAUGGGUUAAUUGUCCAGGAGAGUAGGAAGAGGUAGUGUUAUACAGUUGGAUUAAUUUUUAACAUGAAAGUAAUCAAGUACAUUAUCAGGGUUAGUCACUAAACUCUUAAUUUUUCAAAAAUUAUAAGUUUAUUGAAUAACCAAGCCUGUGUAACGUGUGUCAGAAAAUUGGUGAAUUGAAUACUAGAGAUAGACUACCAUUUUUAAGAGUUGUUUCAUGUAAUUAUUAAAUGUAAGCCUCUUAUCGUUAAGUGAUCUCAUUCCCAUGGCAAUCCUUUGUUCUUAUUAAAGUGUAUUCAUUUACUACAGCUAUUGUCUUGAGAAAUUGAAAGGCACUAGGAUGACAGAAUAGUGAAAGCAACUUCCAACAAACAUCCCACCACUAAUGACUUAAUAUCAUGCCUCAUAUGUUGGAUAACUUAAAAACAAAAGAGAGAGCCUUUAAAAACAAACCUGUAUCAUACUUUCUAGACAAGGAAAUGUAGUCCGAGGCCUGCCCUUCCUGAUGAUUUGUAUUAUUACAUUAAUAGCUCUUUGGUUUGCUAUACUUGGUUGGUGGUUUUGAAACAAUAAGACAUGCAUAAUGCUGGUAAAAAUAUGAAAAGUGUAAAAAAAACAAAAAAAACUGUUUUUAAGACAAACCAUAAAGACUUAUCCCUUCUGUGAUCAUUAUUCCUGGAUCAAGAAGAUCCAGAAAAUAAAUACCACUAAUUUAUAGAAUUGAAUUACCUACCUUUACCAAAAUUUUGUGUAGAGGAGAACUACAUGACUUACAUGAAUUCUUUAAAUUACGCUCUUUGAGUUCAGUUUGCAGAAUGUGUCAGACCUCAUUUAGCCUAUAAAAAGAUGAAAAAAUCAGGGCUAUAGUGAGCUACAUAUAUUGUGGCAUUACAUAAAAUGUUGUGUGAGUCGGUAAUGUAAUAAAUUCUAGUUUAUUCAAACAUCCAUAUGAAUACAUUCCAAACUAAUAAAUUCAAUCAACCACCUGUUUGACGGACAAACGCAAUACUCAAUAAUGACGUCACUUGGAGAAGUUCAUAAACGCAAGGUCAAAACCUAAACUGGAGGCUAAGGUAACAGAUAAUUGUUUGAAGAAUUCCCAUAUCAGAGUACACUACGUAAAGCUAUAGUCAACAACAGUCAGUCUUCGAUCAGGAAAUUCCAGAAAUGAUAGUCAUGUUAUAUAACCUAUUGUGAAAGCCGAAAGGAAUGUUAAAUGUCUAGCUCUGUAUCUGUGAGGCACUAUUCUGAACCAAAUAUCUCUACAGCACCUCAGGUUUUUUUUUUUUUGCUUGUUCCAACCUAUUUUGCUUUGGGAUAUAUGGCUGCUCAGUAGCUGACGGUCUAGUCCCAUUUCAAGCCCCCACACACUGGAAUUUUGCGGCAGUAUAUAAUACAGUAUAUUAACAAUGAGAUAAGACUGGUCCUGCUAGGGCCUCACCCAUUGCCAUCUCUUCUUAACUCCCAUGGAGCUUCUUUAGGAAAGGAUGAGCGGGAGUAAUAUAAUAUACAUUGAUAUAAUUUCUUCUUAUUGCCGCCACACAAGUUGCCCUCUCCUCUGCAGUUCCAUAAUACAGUCUGGUUAAGGGAGAUAUAUAUAUUUUAUAAUUCUUUAUUUUUGCAGUGCAAGGCAUGUCAUACAUGCUUUCAAAUCAUUACAACAAAGCUUUUGUGAGUAAUGUAAACAGAAUGUGUUGUCAAUGGAAAUGCACUUUUUUCAUGUAAAGAAGAUAUCAGAAGCAUUAUUCUAUGAGGCAAAAACAAAGAGAAACGUAAGAGUAUAAUAAGAACAGAGCUAAGGAAGUUUCUGGAUAAGUAGAUUAGACUAUCAAAGUCAGGUAGUAAGACAAGCUAGAACAACAUAGUCUCAGAAACAACUAGACAACAUAAAAGGCCUGAGGCUUGUUCAGCCAAUGCCAAGAAAUGGUGAAUCCCUGCUGCUACUGUCUGCCAUGUUAUGAAGGCUCCUCCAUCUGAUCCAGGCCGCCAAACAGUCUGGUAAUAUUUCCCUCGGGGUGGUAAUCAGAGCUUGUUAUAGCAGCCCCUGGGUCAUAUAGGCCAGAUUGCAUGGGUUAAAGACCUCUGGGUUCGGCAGGCAUUCCACUCACUGUACAUCUCUCCAGGUGGGUCGAGGUGUGUACAAUAUGAAGGUCUAGGCACUGUGGGAUCACUGGCCUCCGACGCAUCUUUGCAUGCCUUCUUCUCUGCAGAGUCCCUCUGGGGAACCGCUGGAGAUAGGUAAGCAAGCAAUGUCGAUGGACAGGGUGACUUUGUGGGGCUUUGACUUGGCCAAUUCUUCGCCCAGAAUUGGUUGCAGAUGUAGUCAAAAGCCAGGGGGAACUGUAUCUCAUGCAGGUCAGUCAUUUUAAUUUCUAGGCUUCAACCCUUUGAGUCACCAGUUGGCUCGUUAAUGUCGUCAGGCUCACAACUAAGAUUAAUAGAAAAAGUGCAGUUAGUGGAGCGCUGAUUGAGAAUAGAAAUAGAUGAAAAUAGGGUGCAAAAAUAGGGAACCUAACAACCUAUACUUAACUAAAUAAUUAAACUAAACUAAAUAAUUAAACUAAACUAUUAUACUGAACUAAAAAAAAAAAAAAACAUUCUCUUCUAAUAGAUAAUAAGCCAAUGACUCAAAUACAAAACCACACUCAAGUAAGAUUACAAAACGUCAAUAUAUCAAAAAUGUAGAAAGAUUUAAUAAAAGUUAACACAGCUAAGAUUCACCCGUGGGGAUCGGGAUAUCCCCCACUGGUUAAGUGGGGGGGAGGGGGGCAGGCUCUUUGUUAGCUAGCUCCAAAUCAGGGACGAGGACGAGGAUCGGCCACCUCUCCGCCCCUGACUGGAACUGCAGGCCACAGUAAAAUGGCUGUAGCCACCGGCCGUAGGCAAAAAGAACUCGAUUGAACAGCUGUGUGCUCCCCGGUAUUAUAAACAGGAAUGCCGCCAGAAAAGAGAGCAAUAUAGCCCAAUUUAAGUAUUUAUAAAAUAUUUACUGGAGCAGUAAACCGCAGUGACCUCAAGCAGCCAACUGUCACGGUGCUGCGGGUUUCUGUCGGCAUGGCCGCACUGAAAAACAGCGGUCUGUCACAUGUUCAUCCUCGCCUUGCGACAUUGAUGGUGGUUUCCUUGCCAAUAAAAGUGGUGGUGCCGUUCAGCGGCCAUGCGUCAAAGUGUCUGACCCCUGCAGCAUGUUGAUGGCUGAGGCGGAUCCACACUAAUUUAUAACCUUACGUCCGUCCACAGCAUGGAAGACCUUGACGUGCGUGUGACGUCAGGUAAAGGAGACACACGCACGUUCUGGGGUCAAAGGCCGGUUUCGGCCGAUCGGAUCUACAAGAGGGGUAUUUAAGUUACCUAUUCCUUCUGCUCAUUGCCCUGUUGUGGCUUCCCUAGUGGUUGUUCGAGAGUGUUUUCCUGAGCAUUUAUUUCUGGUAUUUGACUUUGGCUUUGUUUGACUUCCCUAAAUUCUGGUAUCCCUGACCUUUGGCUUUCCCUCAUCAUUGUGUCUCUUUUUGUAUCCUUGACCUCAGCAAGUAUUCUACUGUUCUCUGGUAUGUUAAGUCCGGCCAUUCUAAGGCCCAGUAAGAUGUUACCUUUUAAGUUCUGCGUGCGGGAUCAAUUAGUAAUCCUGACACGGUCAUGCCAACAGAAAUAACAAACACUUAUCUUACCUGCGGCAGAUCAAAACCCGACCUCCUUCCAUCCCAGUCCCCAGCGUGACGCUAGCCACUGCAGUUCUGUUUUUAAUAAAGAAAUAGCCUUUGCCAAAUUCAAAGAUGGUGCCUACUUGCGUGUGACGUCACGUCAUAGACGUGCACGCACGUUUUGGGGUCAGAGCUCACAUACAGCCAAUUACAGCUUUAAGAGGGUUGUUUAAACCCAAAUUGCCUUUUGAUCAGUGCCCUGUCGUGGUUUCCCUUAGCUGGUUAUCCAAGAGAGUGUUCUUGAUCGUAGUAUUUCUGGUAUUUGACUUUGGCUUUGUUUGACUUCCCUGAUUUUUGGUAUCCUUGACUUUUGGCUUUCCCUCAUCGUUGUGUCUCAUUCUGUAUCCCAGUAAGACGUUAAGUAUUAAGUCCGGCCAUUCUAAAGUCCGGUUAUACGUUAUCCUUAGUCCUAGGGGUGAUACUAUUUCUGCAUGCUGGAUCAAUAGUAAACCUGACACCAACAAAAAGUUAGAUAGGGACCCUAGAAACAUGAUUUGGACAAGGAGUUAGAUAAGGACCCUAGAAACAUGAAUUUGGUUGACCACAUUAAUCAUCCCCAUGUAAAGAGAGAAAGAGGGGAGGCAAACUGGUAAACUGCCUAGUAACCAUUGGAUCCUAAUCCUUCUUUGACUAAGAUGAGAGUUCUGCCUUUGCCCUAUUGUGAGCAAUUCAGCAGCAAAACCUUUACAAAAAGGAAUCUGUGCAACAACCACACAUUACAGAACACCUCUGAGUGUUGCUGGAAUCUCUGUGAUGUGCUUUGUACUUCCUUCACAAACAAAACAUAAAAAAUUAAACAGCUUGAACAUGGAAUAUGAGAGGAUAUAAAGGUUGGCACUAUUGCAGAUAGGGAUUACGAGCUAUGCAUAUUCGACAUGACAGGAUUUUUUAUUUAGAGGGAUCUUUACAGUCAGAUGUUUCUUAAAUUCUUUCCAUCAGUUUGUAGAUCAUCCAUGUUUACAAUAAUACAGUGCCUUCUUUUGCAUUUAUUUUUUUUUAAGCAGGAAGGAUAGGAAGUAGACUAUGAUUGCAAUGACAUAAUCGCCACUUCCUUCCCUUAAUUAUUUUCUUCCUCAAAAUGUGUAACAAACACUUUCAGAAAAUGUUAACAUUCAUUGAAUGUGAUUAAAAAAUAAACAAUGAACAAGAUGUGUCCUACAGACAUCACAUGGACUUCUUGUAGGUAAAGAGGACAUGAAAUGUUUUCUGUUGAGUUUGAAGGUGUAGGGCAUACCACAUGGGUAUUGUUAAUGACAAUAACUCUAGGAAUUUUACAAACACAUGAAGCACUUCAACUGAAGUACUUUAUGUGUGAACAGUGAACCAUUUCUAUUUUAAGAAAGUUCUGAUUGCAAUAGAAAGUGCCUUUCUAUAACUGUACCCAAGUACACCUUCCCAGCUAUCAAUCAGAUAGCUAGGGCGAUUUUCUUUCUUCCUCCCUGGAGCUAGGUGCAAGUUGUAGGUGCCUGUCAAUAACACAUCUGCCUUAAGGUCCCCGGAAACACUCUGAUGCUGUUGUAGGCAGGUGCACUGCUCCUCAACCCUCUGCUUGAGGCACACCUAACAGUCCAGAAUUUAGAGAUUACCAGUGUGUGUCUAAGGUGUUUAGAAAAAGAAGAAGAAAAACACUUUAGAGUCUGAGUUGUUUUUGUUUUUAACACUUUAGACAUUCCCAGGUAAUCUCUAGAUCCUGGACUGUUAGGUGUGCCUUGAAGAGAGGGUUGAGGAGUACUGGGCAGGUGGGCAGUCACAAUAGGAGAACUGUACACAAUAAAAUGCAACUCUCUGAACAUGCACACACACAUGCAGUGGCCCUUGCCCUGCAAAGACUUCUCAAUGAGCUGAAGUAGUCUGUGGUUGGACAGCCAUGUGCAAGCCCAGCUGGUUCACACGAUUUCUCAAUGAAAAGCUUCUGAUUGGUCAUUCCACUCCACACACAAGAAAGUCUGUUCCCAGUGAUUGGGAGGGCUUGCAGGUGCUGCAUAUAUUAGAUCUACAGCUAUUGCAAGCUACAAUUGCAUUAUACCCAAAGAAAAUAAGCAAAAAGAAUUACAUAUGUGGUUUUCUUUGGGAGUAGGUCUAUGAAAUUGCCAAAAAAAAACAACUUUUGUAUGAAUGUGAAGCUACUGAUUGGCUUAGACCACCAGCUGACCACUCAAAGCCAAUCAUUGGCACCUCAACCUGCAGGCAUUCCGUGCUUCCUCAUACUGAAUUGAAGAAACUGGAUCCUGCUGAGGUCAAGGAGAUCUGGUGCUGGAGUUUGGGGUUAAUGGAAUGGUUUAAUUUGUUAAGGUAAGAAAGUGUCAUGGACCUCUGGGCAUCAUGGGAACUUAAAGGGACACUAUAGUCACCUGAACAACUUCAGCUUAAUGAGGUUGUUCAGGUGAGUGCUACAGCUCCUUGCAGCCUUUUUCUUGUAAGCACUGUAUUUUCUGAGAAAAUAGUGUUUACAUUGGAAGCUUGGAACACCUCUUGUUGCAGUCAAUCAGACGGCCACCAGAGGGACUUCCGAGUUCAGAAGCCCUAAAAAGGCUUCAUUCACGUCUGACGUAUUCACGCACGGGUGAAUACUUCAGACGUGCUAUCAGCACACAAAGCACUGUGAACGCGCUUUGUGUGCUGAGGCUGUCAGCACUGCGUGGCAGUGGCUUGAGCUGACAGGCUGAAGACCGAAGAGGAGAAGAGGAGGAUUCAAACUGUAAGUACACUUAUUUAGUGAGUGUGGGUGGGUGACUGGGUGAGGAUGGAUGAUGGGGAUAAAUGGAUAUGGAUGAUGGGGAUGGAUGGAUAUGGAUGAUGGGGAUGGAUGGAUAUGGAUGAUGGGAGUGAGUGGAUGGAUAUGGAUGAUGGGAGUGAGUGGAUGGAUAUGGAUGGUGGGAGCGGGUGGAUGGAUAUGGAUGAUGGGAGUGGAUGGAUGGAUAUGGAUGAUGGGAGUGGAUGGAUUUGGGGAUGGAUAUGGAUGAUGGCAGUAGAUGGAUAUGGAUGAUGGAGAUGGAUAUGGAUGAUGGAGAUGGGUAUGGAUGAUGGAGAUGGGUAUGGAUGAUGGGGAUGGAUAUGGAUGAUGGAGAUGGAUAUGGAUGAUGGGGAUGUAUGAUAUGGAUGAUGGGAAUGGAUAUGGAUUGAUGGAUGAUGGGGAUGGAUAUGGAUGAUGGGAAUGGAUAUGGAUGAUAUGGAUGGAUGAUGUGGAUGGAUAUGGAUGAUGGGAAUGGAUGGAUAUGGAUGAUGGGGAUGGAUAUGGAUGAUGGGGAUGUAUGAUAUGGAUGAUGGGAAUGGAUAUGGAUUGAUGGAUGAUGGGGAUGGAUAUGGAUGAUGGGAAUGGAUUGAUAUGGAUGGAUGAUGUGGAUGGAUAUGGAUGAUGGGAAUGGAUGGAUAUGGAUGAUGGGGAUGGAUAUGGACGGAGAAAGUGUGUGUGUAUGUCUAAUUUUUUACUACUUGUGUGUUUGCAUAGAAACACUAUAUAUAGAGAGAUCUCUAUAUAUAGUGUUUCUAUGCAAACACAGUUUGGCUGAGGAGGGGGCGGGGAUAGAAAGCGAGCUGAGCUGUCAGUCAGACAGCACAGCUCGCGAACGCGCAUUCUGCGCACAUGCGCGGUUGAGCGCUGAGUUUCUUCAUAGGACGGCAUUCAAUGCCGGUCUAUGAAGAAUGCGAUUGGUGCAGCGCGAAACCGCGCAUGUGCACCACAUCGUGAUGACGCUUCUUUUUGGCAAAAAAGGGGGCGUGGCCUAGCGGGGAGUUCGGCGCUGGAACGGAGGUAAGUUUUAUUAUUAAAACUUACUCGGAUUUAUUUAUUUUUUAUGGUAAGUUCAUAUAAAAGCAAGAAAGAAGGCUGGGGGACCUGUCUUUCUUGCUUUUUUAUGUUGACUAUAAAGUCCCUUUAAUUCUGAUGAAGAUUUUAUGGUGCCCAUACAGUUUCUUUAAAUAGAUACCUGCCCAUGAACAUAAUGGAAUGAUAAAACAAGUAUCUCCUGUAGAUUAGUGCACUAAGGAAAAAAAUGAACAAUAUUGUACUACUUUGGCAAGUACUUUUUUUGGGAUUAGAUCAUUUUCCAGAUGCCGUGGGGACGUGUUGAGUGCCUUGGUGUUAAGUACUAAAGAGUGUAUUAAUUUUUCCAGAAUUCCUAAAGGAUUGAAUUCUGUAAUAUGAAACAUAUAUCCAGCAAUUAAGUCUACAACUGCAUCCUCUCCCUCUUUCAAGAUUUAGCACCAAGCAUGCUCCAUAGACGACGAGAAUGGAGGCCACUAGCAGACCUAGUACGCCAACAUGAGAUCUGCUUCACCUGGGGGCACCCCUUAAAAAUUGUAGCCUUCCAAACUGGAAGAACAGGAAAUGAGAUACCACCUUGCUGACUAAGCCACAGAAAGGCCGGUGUGCGUGCCCCUAGCUCAAGAUUUUCCUGGGAGGAACUUAUGGGGAGAGCCCGGUCACUAGAGACUAGACUCCACUCAGCUGCCUACAAGGAGUCCCUCAGAGGUACGCACUCUAGGUGCUCCCGGCCGAUAACAACCCCUCACCCAACCCCAGCCUGCCAACCAAGUCCGGACGCACAGUCCCAUCCCCCACGGCCCUGGACAGACACCAAGACACUUACACCUGCAAAAACUAAAACAAGAUACAAAAAACAAAAGAGAAAAAAAAAACAUAAAGUUAAUAUAAUUUAAAAAAAACAAAGAGAAAAUGAAAACAUAACUAAAUAAAAUGUUCAUACAACUCAGAUAAGAAAGGAACAUACUAUUAUAAUCCAACCUGUGAAUCACCUAUAAACCCACGAUAGAUAUCAGGGUACCUUGGCAGGGCUACCCACAGGCCACUUUAUCCAAAAUCACGAACCCAGGGUGCUAAGAGAUUCCCCCAAAGUACUAAGGGGGACGGGAAGUAUUCCAAGUACUUACACCUCUGAUCAUCUGGGCUGUAACGCCCGCCAGGUCGGCCAUGACCCACCUGGGACUACCUGCACCUCCAGCACAUACAUAAUGGGGCAACAAAAGGUUGGGACCACAGGGACAAGGCGGGAUAUGCCUCAACCCCACCCAGGGACUUAUAGGGGAAGACUGGAAAAACUCAGGUGGAGGAGAGAGAUACAGAAACUGGACGGGGUUGGCCAAGAGACCAAAUUGCCCAUUCAUGAUGGCCCAGGGAAACUGCUAUGUACCAGUUGCAUAGUGUAUUAUAGUGGAAAUGCGUGGGGAGUCACCAACCCUGAGAGGUGAACAUAUUCCUGCCACUCACGGGGGUGCACACCCCUACCCUAAUCUGGCACAGGGUAAGACCAGAUUGUUAUACUUCUGUUUAUGUUUAUGGUUAAUGUAUCUAACUUCUCAACUUAUCUCUUUCUUGCUUUUGCGUAUCAUAUGUAUUGAUCUCCAAUCCCAGUUCUCUGCUUGGAUGCCGCCCGCGUCGUUAAGGAGGGGGUGGACUUGCCCCGCCCUGGACCUCACCCACGAUACAACCCAAUAUAUCUUUAAGGAGGCACGUGAACCAGACACUUACGCCACGACAGCGACACUACACACAUCACCUAAUGGCUCUUAAGGUACUGUCACUUAAUGUCAAAGGACUAAACUCUCCAAAGGUUGCUCGCAGGGGAGGGCUGGCAGCCUUAGGACUGGGGGGCAAAACCAGUCAAGUGGCCCAUUGCCCAACCAAAUCCGUUAACCAUCCAUGCCCACCCUUUCCUGGUUUUAUAACGGAUAUUGAUGUUUUGCUAAUCAGUAGCUCUUUGCCAUACCCGCUCCUUCACGGCUCUCAAUGUUGUCAGAGCGCAGGCUGAGAAUCUCUGAGCAUGUGCUCUGACUCACUAACUGAGCGCCAGAACCACGAGGGAGAUGCACCUACUGCUGGUGUGCACCAGUGGACCACCAGCGAAUCGUUUAAAUUGAAUAUGCUGGUGUCCCCAACUUGUGAGCUGUGUUGGCCGCCAGGCGCCUCUGUUGUCAUGGCACCCUGCGUGACCGCACAGCUGGCACACCCCAACUGCUGGCCCUGCUGACACACACUAACGUUACUACUUAGACAUCCCUCAAUAUUAAUACAGACAUCUGAGAAAACACCAAUAAACUGUGGAAACAGAGCUGAUCCCCCCCAAAUUUAUAAAGAUUUGCUUAGUGGAUUUGUUGUAAGAUUAAAUCAUGCCUCCUCCUCUCUCUCUCCCAUGCGCUGCUCUAUAGGCUGGGAGGAAGUGAAGAGUAAUCACAUUCUCCCAGCAGAGCGCCACCGGUGGCUGCAUGGGGAACAGCUGUUUAAUCUAAUGCUUGCAGGACGGCCAGCUGCCACAGAACCUCUUUGUUCCCGUCUCUGCAAAGGGCUCCAGGCACUGCUUGCUGUGAGUGUGAGUCACUGUAAAUUAGGGGCAGAGGGCACUUGCACUGCGGUAAAGACGGGUCUGGGCAGGAGGAGAGUGCAGUGCAAUCAGUGCACUCCCCUCCUGUGGGUCACCAGUAGACUGGUGCACCUGCCCAGGAUCAGAGCUGGUGCAAGGAUUUUUGCCGCCCUAGACAAAAUAAAAAUUUGCCGUCCCCCAUGUGACAUCACAAUGCCGGACCCAUAUGAUCUUCCAUAUGAACUAACGCCAGUGCUGCACACAGUGUGUGUUUACAUUAAAAGGGACCGGCUAUAGACACCAGAACCACUUCAUUAAGCUAUAGUGUCCCUUUAAUGUGAGGUAAAUUAUAGAUUAGUGUCACUAAUAAUAUACUAGAUUGCCUACUUACAACCAGAUGAGGAUGAUGAUGGGCUGCAGUUUGGUUCCACUGGUCUGGUGUAGAACUGGAUCUCUGGAGGCUGUUUGCAACUGUGGUCACAACAUUCAAUGUUCUGGGAGAAUUGGAAGCAGCUCCAUUUUUUGGGGGCCCCUUACACAGCUCAAGGUCUGGGCCCCAGGGCCUGACGGUGAGUAUGCCCAUAAGUCCCACUCAUAAGUCGACUUAUAUAUUCCACCCACCCAUGAGUUCGCUCACAGGGAGUGGCAUGUGUAGGGGAUGUGUUAUGUGUCAUUGUAGAGGAUCUAAUAUGUGUGCUUAUGGUAUGUAGUGUAUAGGGAUACCAGUUUGUGUAGGUGAUGCAGUGUGUUUGUGUGCAGUAGAAGCAGUGUGUAUUUGUGUAUAAGGGACGUAUUGUGUUUCUGGUUGUGUGUAAGGGAUGCAUUGUUUGAAUCUGUGUUUGUAUGCAUAAGGGAUGCAAGGUGUGUGUCUGUAUGUGUGUGCAUUGAGUGUAAGAGAUGCAUUGUGUUUCUGUGUGUAUGUAAGAAAAGCAGUGUGUGUAAGGGUUUGCAUUGUGUGUUUCUGUGUAUGUGUGCAAAGGAUGCAUUGUCUUUGUGUGUAAGGGUUGCAUUGUGUGUGUAUAAUGGAUGCAUUGUGUGUUUCUCUGUGUGUAAGGGAAGCAUGUUGUGUUUCUAUGUGUGUAGGGAUGCAUUGUGUGUUUUUUGUGUAUGUAUAGGGAUGCAUUGUGUGUGUUUGUGUGUGCGCGUAGUGUGAAAGAGCUCCAUGUCUUGCCCCCUGUCCUAUAGAGCUGUCCCUUCUGUCCCUUAGAGCUCUCCCCUGCCCCUUUGUGGUCUCUCCUCUCCCUCACCCCAUCCUAGCCAUCUCUUCUCACACUCACCCACCGUCCCUGUGCUCUUCUCAUCCCCCCCUCCACUCUCCCUGUGUUCUCUUCACCCCCCCUCCUCCCUGUGUUCUUCUUACUUUCCCCCCUUGUUCUUCUUACUCCCCCCUUGUUCUUCUUACUCCCCCUCUUCUUCUUCUUACUACCCCUCUUCUUGCCUUCUUCUUACUCCCCUCUUCUUACUUCCCCUUCUUCUUCUUACUCCCCUUCUUCUUCUUACUUAUUCUUCUUCUUCCCUCUUCUUCUUACUCCCUUCUUCUUCUUACUCUACUCCCCCCUUCUUCUUCUUCUUCUUACUCUUCUUCUUCUCCCCCUUCUUCUUCUUACUCCCCUUCUUCUUCUUCCUUACUCCCUCCUUCUUCUUCUUACUCCCUCUUCUUCUUACUUCCCUCUUCUUCUUACUCCCCCUUUCUUCUUCUUCUUACUCCCCCCUUCUUCUUCUCCUCCCCCUUCUUUUCUCACUCCCCCCUUCUUCCCUUCUUACUUCCCCUUCUUCUUCUUUUUACUCCCUCUACUCUCUCCUUCUCUUCUUCUUACCCCUUUAUCUCCUCCUUCUUACUUCCCCUUUUUGCUCUCACCCUCUUUUUCUUCUCCCUCUUCUUGCUUCUUAUUCUCCCCCUCUUUACUUCCCCUUCUGCCCCCCCUGUUCUUCUUCUUACUCUCUCUUCUUCUUUUCUACCUCUUUUAUUACUCCCCUUCUUCUUCUACCCCUUUUUUCUUACCUCUUCUUCUUCUUACCCCCCCUCUUUUCUUAUCUCCCCUCUUCUUCUUCUUACUCCCCUUUUCUUACUCCCCUUCCUAAUACCCCUGCCCUCUUCUUACUCUCCCCUCUUUUUACUUCCCCUCUUUAAUCUUCCCCUCUUCUCUCUCCGCCUCCCAAGGUGCUCCCUACUAUGGUCCAAGAGCCUAUUCUAUUAGGAGCAAACAAAACAGACACCUUCCUGGCUAGAGUAUUACGAUCGAGAAUGGGACGCAACACCAUAACAAAACUGAAACAAAUACUAUAGCCACGACACCAGACGCUAUUAAUGAAGUAUUCACCACAUAUUUCUUGGACCUAUACAAUCAUUCCCCACACCUCACGACCAGUGGUGUAUCCUGGUUUUGUGCUGCCCUAGGCAGGACAAAACUCAGGCACCCUCUCCCCCCGCGCCACCCCCACCCAACCUUUUCCCCCCCGCCCCACCUUCUAAAUACACACACACACAAACAGUCAGAUACAAACACACACACAGUCAGACACACACACACACAGUCAGACACAAACACACACACACAGUCAGACACAAAACACACAGUCAGACACACACACAAACACACACAGUCAGACACACACACACACACAGUCAGACACACACACACAGAGUCAGACACACACACACAGUCAGACACACACACACACAGUCACACACACACACACAGUCACACACACAAUCACUCACACAUAACACUUUUUUUUUUUAAUUUAAUCCCCCCCCCAGCCUCCUUAACCUUUGGGAAUGCUGGGGCAGGGAUUUCUCUCUUUCUCCCUGGUGGUCCAGUGGCUGCCGGUCGGGCUGAUGGGCUGGCUGCUGGGCGGGCGGCUGGCGAGGGAGCUCUUCCUCUGAGCUGACUGCUCAGCUCCCUCGCGCACCGCAGAGUGAGCUGAGCAGUCAGCUCAGAGGAAGAGCUCCCUCGCCAGCCGCCCGCCUGACCAUCAACCAGUGCCGCCAGCAUGUCUGUUAGCCACGAGGCUAACUAGGCAUUUGCCCUGGGCAUUUGGGGGCGGCGUUUUUUGCCGCCCCUGAAAAAAGCUGCCCAAGGCAAAUGCCUUGUUUGCCUCGCGGCUAGUACGUCCCUGCUCACGACCAACAACACAAUCUAUAUCGACGACAUACAAAGGUUCCUAUCGGGACUGACCAUUCCAAAAGUGAAUAGAGAAGAGGCAGCAUCGCUGCGGGACCCGAUUACACAAUCUGAAGUGGAAACGGCUAUAGCAUCUCUCAAGGGUAACAAAGCCCCAGGGUCAGACGGUUAUGACAUCAGUUACUACAAGCAAUUUAGAGACGUGUUAGCUCCUGACCCUCAGUAAUCACUUUAUGCAGGGAAGGAAGCCUGAUGCAGACAUGGCUAUGGCAAACGUAAUACUCCUACCAAAACCGGACAAGGACGACACAUUAGUUACAGGGCAAUAUCACUCAUUAACACUGACCUUAAAAUCUUCGACAAAAUACUAGCCUCCAGACUCACACCCUCCCUUCCAAGCCUGAUCCACCCUGACCAGGUUGGCUUCAUACCCGGACGACAACUAUAUGAAAACACCAGACGGGGGGUAGACAUUUUAUGGUACAUGGUGAAGUCCAAGAUGCCUUCUCUGGCAUUCUCUUUAGAUGCAGAGAAGGCGUUCGAGAUGGUACUGGGGCCUUACCUGUUCAACUUACUCCAUUUCCAGGGGUUCCCUGAGCCUUUUGUGACAGCAAUACGGGUGCUACAUACGGACAUACAUGCACAGACGCUCAUAACAGGAGCAAAGAGAACAACGGAACCAGACAGGGGUGUCCCUUGUCCCCCUUACUAUUUGCCCUGACACUGGAACCACUCCUAUAAGUUAUAAGGCAGCACCCGCACAUCCAGUGAGUGGAGGUCCUGGACAAACAUUUACAGUGUCCGCCUAUGCGGACGAUGUCCUUUUAACUCUCAGAAACCCAUUGGACUCCCUACACCACUUAACGCUCCUACUGCAGCGGUUUGGGUGUUUAGCGGGCUACAAGGUAAACUUUACCAAAUCUAUGGCAAUGCCCUUUUAUUAAGCAGAUCCGGACAUGUCACUAAUACGCAGCCGACAUCAUUUAAGGGUAAAUCCAGAGGAAUUCAUGUAUCUGGGCAUCCAUCUGACAGCGAACCCCUCAUCACUCUUCACCCGUUACUACACGCCCCUGACCCAAACCCUUACUAAAGAGUUAGACCAAUGGGCGGACAGACCUAUUUCUUGGUUGGGAUGCAUACACGCCAUUAAAAUGAACAUACUACCAAUGCGCUUAUUCCUGUUUCAAGCACUCCCAGUGAGAGUUACCCAGAGGAGACCUAACAGGCGUACAAAGAGCGAUUGAUUCCUUCAUUUGGCACAACAAGCACCUGAGGCUAGCACGCACUCUCCUUUACCGGCCCAAACCGAGGGGGGAUUAGGUCUGCCUAAUAUAAUUAUUAUUUAGCAGUACAAUUAACCCAGAUUAUGCAAUGGCACACACCCCUGGACAGGAGGCUCUGGGUUGAUCUUGAGUCCCUGUUGACAGGGAUGGAUCUUCCGCAGUUCUUCAUAUGGGUACCCAGGACCCAGAGAGCUAUCCUAAGAACCGCCAACCCAGUCAUCCUUAACUCCAUGCAAAUAUGGGACCAAACUAAAAAGAAAUACUCCCUAAGCACCUCCUUAUCCCCCAUGACACCUGUACUCAGGAACAGAGCGUUCCCGCUGGGGCUGAGGGCCCGGGACUAUGGCGGGAUAGAGGCCAUGGGGCUACAGAGAUAUGUCCACCUAUAUGUCGAUCAAGACAUAGUUACGUGUGCACAUCUGAACACUGAGCAACUCUCAGAACGCGAGACUACGUUAGAUACUUACAAAUCCGAGACUUCGCACAAAGAGCUGAAGUCAAGGAAGCAGCCACGACACGCUACUAUACAAUCACCUUAGUACUGACAAAGGGCGCACUACGAUACACUGACCAACGGGAGGCUGACCUGAGGGAGGUAUGGGAGGGAACAGAGAGGCAAGACAUUUGGGAAGCCUGCACCAAAAUAUGUGUAACGCUCCAGGAGAAACCAUACAAAACAUUAUUUAGAUGGUACACAACGCCAGUCAAACAAAAACAUAUGAAACUGACAGGGGUUGUGUACCAUCUAAUAGGUGUCAGACGACUGCUGACACCUAUGCGGUGGGAGGGGCACUUAUAUACACAUGUGGUGGGAGUGCCCGCAAGUGAUGAGAUACUGGCACAAAAUAGUAGAUUUAAGCUCACAGAUCCUACAGAGGAAAAUGGCCCCAGACCCGUGGGCAUACCUGUUAUCACGUCCCACAGAGGGCCUCACCAAACACGAACAAAAGCUCCUCAAUAUGAUUAAUCUAGCAGCCCAUAGAGCAUUGGCACAGAAGUGGUCAUGCCCAGAUCUCCCCCAAGUAUCCCUGGUUAAAGCAAAUCUGAAAGAUAAUUUCCUGAUGGACAAACUCACCGCCCAACUCAGGAACACGAUGACUACUUUCAAUAGGGUAUGGGAUCUUUGGGAACAAUACAAUACAUAGGGGACUCGUGAGGCGGCAUCCACACUAGCAACUAGGAACAGCUGGGAUACAAUCACACUGACAUAGACACACCAGAAGCCCGAUGUGCGGCAGCGGCACGAAUAACGGAAGGAUAUCUGGCCAACGCUAAGACUCAGGACACAGGCCACUAAGACUCACAGGAAAGAUCGAUACGAUCCUGGACUUGGCCAACUAAGAGAUCACAUAUCUCUCUUCUUUAUUGUUUCUUUUUCCGAUGUUCUAUCCUUUUUACUAUGCUUUCUUCUCACAAGUACUCUAGACUUGUAUUCCGGCAAGAGGAGGGGAGUGGCAGAAAUCCAGCUAAUAUAUACAAAUGGCUACAACUAACUGUCAUAAGCUGGUAAAAUCUCCAUAGAAUGACUGAUGUAAUCAUUACCUAAUGAAGGAAUGUACCAUAACCAAUACAUGUAAUACGUGUAAUAAAUGUCUUCAAGUGGGAAUGUAACUAGUCAACGCAGCCAGCUCCUCGAAGUACUGCCACUGUAUAUAGUUAAUGUAGAUUGGAAAAACAAGAAAAACCCUGAUGAAAUUGCAAACAACUGUUGGCCAUUGUAUGUAAGAUGACUACUGUACUAACUACACAACUUUCCUUUCUGCAAGAUACCACAACUCUGUCAUGGCUUUUGCGUAAGCCUGUCUUGUCAUACUAUUGCAUGUUUAUCAGUGCAAAAAUAAAGAAUUUAAAAAAAAAGAAGAUUAAACAAAACACAACAUUUUCUCUUCGUGUAUACAUAGUUUGUGAUGCCGUUAGCACAUCAUAUGCUUAAAAGGAGGGAGCACUGCCCUCUGCCGUAACUCAAGGAUACUGCAAGGGCCAUACUUCCCUGCAGAAUUGUUUGAUAGAUGGCUUAUGGAUAAGUGCAAAUCUAACUCAUUUAAUAUGCCACAUGUAUACACAUACCUGUAAUUAAUGAGAAAAAGGAAACAUUUAGCUGACAAGUCAAAGGGGAUAUUCAUUCAGUCCAUGGCUAAUGACCUAAAGAAGUCUAUCAAGAUGCUUGCUUGAUAAUUUAGUGCAGAUGUGGGUUUCAAAGAUCCAUGUUUUUAUGAUUGGACUAUCUGACUACAUAAUACGUCAGCCAGAAUUAAAAAUUAAAAGGUCAGGUGGGGUCACAGGUCAUGUGACUUACAGGUAAUCAACCACAAGAAAAUACAAGGUGUUAUAAAGCAGUGAGAAUUAUGACAUUGUAUGUGUACAGUAACAAAAAUUGGUAAACUUUAAAAUAAAAUAUAUUUUAAAAAAAGAAUGAAAGAAUUAGAAAAAAAAAAGUGGAAAUGUGUCCCUAAAGGGACACAAAGAUGGUCACCGCAGCGGGACCAUAAGGUACACCAGUAUGGCCGCCCUGGGCCAAAAGACCAUGGUCGGCAUGACUGGAAUAUUAAAUACUGUGUCCCUUGUCUGUUGGUGCGGAAUUCACAGCAGUAACAAUAGCCUAACCCAUCCCUUGUGCUAUAGUGUGGACCUCUCUAAAAGUAGAAGGUUUUUGAAUCAAGUCAGCAUUUUGUUUAAGCUGCUUUGAGGAGAGCUUUUGAUCCACUGGGAAGAAAAACCAAUGCUGCCAGGACUCUCCUAAACUUAAACAGGGUAACCACUCUCUCAUGGAUUAUGCCCUCCUAGAAUUUCAUUUUCUAGUGUCAGAGAUAGAGUGGAACAACCGUGCAUUUGUGGACAUGUUCCUUACCAAUUUACCCAAUACCCUCUUAGAUGAGGUAGCAGCUAGGUACCUACCAGAGACAUUGGAGGAGCUCAUCGUGUAUCUUGCUUACAUAGAUGAGACUUAGACAUAGAAUACCAGAGAGAGGCCUAAAAGACUGGCUAUCAGAUUAGCUCCUACCUUUUCCUCAGAGAGGGAUUGUGUAUGUAUUGUGGCAAGAGGAGACUUCUCCGUUUUUCCUGUCCUGAAAGGCCAGAAAAUCCCAGAGCCUAAGGUCCCAUGGAGGACAGGACUUGGGUGUUCUUAAUGAGUCCUCCGUGUUUGUCAAUCCAGAAAAAGUGAAGUGAGUUCCACAGGAGCAGUGCAGCCCUCGAGAAGUAUUUAAGGAGAGCAUCAGAGGUGGGAGUACGGACAGAAGAUAGAUGUAAGUCUUCAGCAGAGCAUAAGGGCCUAGACGGGACAUACUUGUGUAUUGGGGAGGAUAGAUAGGUGGGAGCAGCAUUAUGUAGAGAUUUGAAAGCAAGAACCAGAAUCUUAAAUUGAGCCCUACAUCUUACAGGAAGCCAAUGUAGGGACUUACAGAAGGGCGCAAGUUGGGAGCACGUAAGACCACUGAGAAUCGGAUUACAGUAGUCAAGGUGAGAAACGACAGUGGAAUGGACCAGCACUUUAGUCGCAUCUGGUGUUAAGUAGGGUACCAGUAGGGUAAAGCAGUGUUAUGGCCUUUUCCCCCAUACAUUAGUCGAGACUUAAUGCUGGGAGAAGAAUUGGAUUUAUUAAGCUCAGCAUGGUCAUUUAUACAUGGACCCCCAGCAUGAAAUCCCUAUUCACAGAACAAAUGAUCCCGCCCUGGUGCCUCUGUGUCUGGAAGAUAAUUGAGUUGCUACUCGCUAAACUAAUUAUCUCCUGGAUACAGAGAGCACAACACAAAAACACCCCAAAUACAUAAUAAAACAUACAGGAACCCUCACACAUUAUAUAUCGUCGGAUAGCUCUGAUCCGAGCGCCCAUGUUGGCCAAACAGUGAUGACUAAACGCCACCGGGGUAAAGUUUUGAACGACCGCACAUGUGGUCCGUGCCCAAAAGAGUUCCAUAACAAUUCAGGCUUUGGCUGGUCAAAUGUCAGGAGCUCCUGCGGACGAAGCAAGGUGCACUCCCCCCGGCUCCCGGGGAACGAUUGUAGUCUAUAGUCUGAGGCACCUUACUUCCGAAAAGCGCUCUCGUGGUUGCAAGGGAAGUGUGGUAAAACCGGGUUGGAAGUUAAUUGAGGUUAGCUGCAGUUGGACCGGUGUUUCAGAAGAGUUGUGCAUAAGUCCUGCUGAAGUCUUUGUGGCUUCUGAAUUCUGGUUGUAGUUCGAGGAAAGAAUGGUUUCAGUGAGUUGGCCUGGAGGGGAAGGUGCUAUGAGCCAUGUGUAGUGACAAUAGUCUUUUUUUGACAAUGUGGGAAAUAAAACACGUGGCAAGCAUGAAGGUGUUGUUUCUGGUGUGGCCACAUUGACUGGGUAUUCAGUCACAGUCUUGUUGGCUUUUCCAAUUAUGAUUCUUCCAAGAACCCAGUGGACAAAACACUACACUUGAUCUUAGCUAAAAGUUGAGAAGCAUUGAGACAGUUUUGAUUACUCCUGUUUUUGCUGUCAAUAUGCUUGCAAAGAGUAACAAACAGAUGACGCUGUGUAUUAUGCUUAGUAGACAGCAGCUAGUUAUGCCAUCAAUUUGCUAUGAAGAUAGAUAGCUCUACGUGGGAUAUUAAUCAUUUGCAGUUAGGCAGUCAUGAGGCUAUACUUGUGCUACAUAGUUUUGAGUAACCCAAAAGAUGGGACCAUCUAACAAGCAGUGAUAUUAACAUUUGUUUUUAUUCGCAUUAACCUCUAUUUUCCAAUAUUUUUUAAAACAUUACACUAAGAUAGCCUAUUUAAAAAUAAUCUUAUCAUUAUUAUAACAUUGAUUUAGCUUUAAUAAAGUCUGCAGUCUUACAACUAUACAAUUAGAAUACAUAAAAGCAAGUAACUCAGACAAAGUUGACCGUAACAAGAGGUGAAGAGGGCCUUGCUCAAACAAGUAUACAAACUUGUAUUAAUCACAGAUUCAAAACUAUCAAGCCCCAAUACUGCUGUAAGAAAGUCAGUGCUCCAUCAGCUGAUCAUCUGCAAUAAGCAAAGGUAGCCUUCUGGAAGACCACACUAAGACUCUAUCCUGCACAGCAUCAUUUAUAUUUAAUUUAACCACCAUGUACAUUUAUUUUAUUUUAUAUAUCCUGUGUGCAUUGUAUAUGUUCUUGCCUUUAUAUCUUGUCUGUCAUGCUAAAGUGUAGUUUUGCUAACCCUGUAUGUAAUUGUUUUAUUCACCUAUAUGCAUUCCUCUAUUUCCCCUCUGAUUUCUGACUGACCUCUGACCACUCCCUUCUUUUGUUGAUAUAUUUGUUUUUCAUUUGACUAACCAUCCCUUCAUCUCUCUGCCUAGAUAGAUAUCCCCCUCCCUCGGCUUUAUCGCAAGCCUAUCUGACCCUCACAUAUCUUUAUUCAACAGCCUGAUUUCAAAGCUAUCAAGCCCCAAUACUGCUGUAAGAAAGUCUGAUACCCGCCCUCCCCUCACCACCCCACCCUCAUUAUUGCAUUUGUCACACCCAAACUUUAGAUAAGUAGAAAUUAAAGGUGUACACACGGCCUCUUAUUAGUACACUCCUGCACUUUCUUACCCUAUAGAAUCUAAUAUUUACCCUACCUUCACCUGCUCUUGAUAUUUCAAUUAUUUCCAAUUUACUUUUUCCUAGUUUAGCAGUUUCUCUUCUUUAUUUCCUCCUUCUCCCUCAGUAUAAAAAUCUCUCCUUACACCCACUUCACUCAUCCUCCCAUCCACAUUUACAUAUGCCCUAAAUAUGCCCUCUCUGCUAAACCUCCCCCUUCUCUCAUCUCAUGCCUUGUACUCAUGUUUCUACUCUCUCACUCCUACCCACAAUCAAUCUCAACCCAUUCAUACAAAUCCCAUUCACACCUCCUUUCACUUUCUCUCCUCCUGCUUCUAGCAGCUGGUGGUGUCUCUCCCAAUCCAAGGCCAUUCACCUUCUCUACACACACUAAGAAAACUAGAAACCUCAUCACAAUACCCUGCCCUUUACCCUCACUUACCAACAUUCAGUGUGCACUCUGGAACGCCAGCUCCGUCCACAGUAAUUUAAAAUCAACAGCCAUACACAACUUUUUCAUCUCAAACUCACUCACACUAUUGCACUUACAGAGACCUGGCUGUCCCCCCCGAUAGCGCUACUCCUUGUUGGUGGGCUACAAUUCUCUCACACUCCCAGACUCAACUGUAAAGGAGGUGGUGUAGGCAUCCUUCUCUCCCCUCAAUGUACCGUUUAACCAAUCAUAACUCCCCCUGCCCUAUCCUUUUCUUCUUUUGAAGUUCUAUCUGCCUAUUUAAACCCACUCUCUUAAGAAUUGCUAUCAUCUACCGCCCCCUUGGUCAUCCUAGACUAUUUAUUGAGCACUUUUCUUCCUGGUUUCCCCACUUACUCUCAUCUAGCAUUCCUUCCCUUAUACUUGGGGAUUUCAAUAUCCUAAUCAACAACCCCAACUGCACUGAUGCCUCUCGUCUGCUCUCUGUAACCUCCUCCUUUGGCCUUACGCAAUGGUCCAGUUUAGCAACCCUUACAGCGGGAAACACUCUUGAUCUCGCCUUCACCAAUCUCUGUACCACCUCUAAUCUCUCCAAUAUUCUUUUUCCUCUAUCUGACCACCAUCUGCUGACUUUUGACAUUGGCAUACCUAAAGACCCAAUUGACACCACUGUCUGAACAUCAAUCUCACAGAAACCUCCAAUGUCUUGACCUAGAGCAUUUCUCCACUAAUCUCCAAACUUUUCUUAUACCUAUCUCAAACCUCACCUGUCCUAGCUCAGCAACCUCCUUCUACAAUUCCACCCUCUCCUCUCAAAUAGACAUCAUGGCACCUCCUACAUUUAAACGCAGCAACAACAACCUUGGCACACCAAGAUGACUCUAUACCUCCAAAAAAUCUCCAGAACUUCUGAACGCUGUUGGAGAAAGUCUCACUGUGCGUCUGACUUUCUCCACUAUAAAUGUAUGCUGCGCUCAUACAGCUUGGCCCUUUCCUCUGCAAAAGUAAAUUACUUCAAAACCCUCAUAACCACACUCUCCUGCAAACCCAAACGACUAUUUCACACAUUUAACUCUCUUCUUCGCCCUAUUGUUCCUCCUCCACCUACUAACUUGACUGCCAUAGACUUUGCAACUCACUUCACUGAUAAUCUCUCUACAUUCAGGGAAGAGAUCUCUCAUCUUUCUUUUUCCCCUUACAAUACUUCCCCUAACCUCACUCCCUCUGCUGUUCUAUGUUCAUUCGCAACCGCUACAGCAGAAGAGGUUUCCAGUCCUCCCGCCCCACCACCUGCUCCCUAGAUCCAAUUCCCUCGCAUCUCACCCAUGCUCGGUCUUCUUCUCUUUCUCUACCUCUCACUAAAAUUCUCAAUCUUUCUCUCUCCUCUGGCAUAUUUCCAUCUCUCUUCAAACAUGCAACUAUAACCCCAAUUCUAAAGAAGCCCAACCUUGACCUUUACUCCCCGUCCAACUACUGUCCUAUCUCGCUACUGCCUUUUGCACCCAAGAUCCUUGAAAAAGAUUGACAGACUUCCUCGAGUCCAACUCUCUGCUAGACCCGCUUCAGUCUGGUUUCUGCGCUAAGCACUCUGUGGAAACGGCACUGACCAAAGUAUCCAAUGAUCUACUCACUGCAAAAUCUCGUAGUCACUACUUUAUCCUAAUUCUCCUUGACCUUUCUGCGGCUUUUAACACUUCUCAUCCUCCGCAAUAUCGGUCUACAAGAUAUUGCACUCUCCUGGUGCUCCUUCUACCUCUCCCAGUGCUCUUUCAGUGUUUCUUUCCCUGGCUUUGCUUCUUCUCCCCAACUCCUCUCUGUUGGUGUUCCUUCAAGGUUCAGUCCUUGGUCCCCUACUGUUCUCCAUCUAUACUGCCUCCCUUGGUAAACUCCUUUGGCUUCUAAUAUAAUUUCUAUGCGGAUGAUACGCAAAUCUAUCUGUCCUCUCCUGACCUCUCCCCGUCCCUCUUGACUAGUGUCUCUGACUGCCUCUCUGCUAUUUCUAAUUGGAUGGCUGCCCACUUCCUUAAACACAACUUGAACAAAAAUGAAAUUCUGGUCUUUUCUCCUUGAAUGUUGCUACUCCUGUGCCUGUCUCCCUCCAAGUCAACGGUGCUACCAGCAGCUCCACCAUGCAGGCUCGCUGCCUAGGUGUUCUCUUUGACUCCGACCUCUCCUUCAUGUCUCAUGUUCAGUCUAUCGCCAAAACCUGCCGCUUCCAUCUCAUUAACAUUGAGGGCAUCCGACCCUACUUGACGCCAGAUGCGACUAAGGUCCAUUCCACUACUUGACGCUGCUGGUCCAUUCCACUGUCCUUUCUCACCUUGACUACUGUAAUCCGCUUCUCAGUGGGCUUACGUGCUCCCAACUUGCGCCGUUACAGUGCAUAAUGAAUGCGGCGGCGAGGCUCCUCUUCCUGGCCGUCCGCACCUCCCGGGCCUCACCCUUCUGUCAGUCCCUACAUUGGCUUCCUGUAAGAUAUAGGGGUAAAUUUAAAAUUCUGGUUCUUUCUUUCAAAUCUCUACAUAAUGCUGCUCCCACCUAUCUAUCCUCCAUAAUGCACAAGUAUGUGCCGUCUAGGCCCUUACGCUUUGCUGAAGACUUACGUUUAUAUUCCGUCCGUACUCCCACCUCUGAUGCUCGCCUUCAAGACUUCUUGAGGGCUGCACCGUUCCUGUGGAACUCACUUCCCUCCUCCGAGUGAUGCUCACCCAUUCAUCACUCCUUCAAAAAAAAAAAAAUCGAUUAAAGACCCACUUCUUCAUAAAAGCGUAUCAAUUAAUACUGUUAAUAGCUCCCGACUGAUUUCUCUUUUGCAACUGUCACUAGUCUAAUACUAUCCUUAUCUUUUGUGUCACUAUACCCCAGUCCCUCUAGCAUGUAAGUUCAUUGAGCAGGGCCCUCAAAUCAUCUGUUCCUGUGUGUCCAACUUAUCUGGUUACAACUACAUGUUUGUUCGUCCACCCACUGUAAAGUGCUGCAGAAUUUGUUGGCGCUAUAUAAAUAAUAACAUAAUAAUCCAUGAAAGUGAAUGUGCUUCCCAGGGAGACAAGUCUCAUAAACUGGGUGGUACAUGGUCUUCAAGGCAUCUCACCAAUUGUUCUGCAGCGCAGUACCUAGCAUACUUUAUAAACAUCAUAUGCUGUUAUUAUGCAUGACUCUCUCCUCUGAACCAGACAACUAGAAUCUUGAUGUUUUAAUGGAAAAGGGGAGAGGAUCUAAUUACAUCCCACUUACCAAAAAGCAUAGUCUUUGAGUUGCCACAGUUGAUCUUCGCUCCUGAAGCACUGCUGAAGUCAUCCCAGUUGACCAAAAGUGCUUUCCCUGCCGUGUGGUCAGAAGAUGGUGACAUUGUCCAUGUAGAUCGAUCACUUUAUUUGUUUUCCUCUGGUUCCUGGUACGGUGAUCCCUCUGAUCUCCAGGUUCUGUUCUGGUGGACUAGCUGAAGAGCGCUAUACAACAGACAAAAAGAAGAGUUGAAAGAGGGCAGCCUUGUUUGACCCCUGAUCUGACUGGGAACAGGUCAGUUUUCCAGCCAUUCACCAGCAUAGUACAUCAGGUUUACAAAGGAACAGAACACCUCUCCCAACCCAAAUCUGUGCAGGGCCCUGCUCAUAAAACUCAUGAGACACAUGAUCAAAGGCUUUCUCCAGGUCCAGACAGAUGUGUGCAGCCCAUACCUGUUGAUCCUUGAUGUAAUGGAUCCCUGUUGGUUGUUGGGGAGCUGGCCAUCUGGGAUGCCACAGAUCUAGUCAGGGUCUAUGAUCUACUCUAUGACCACCUUCAAUUUAGAAGCUAAAACCUUUGCCAGGAUCUUGUGGUUCACAUUAAGGAGAGAAAUUGCUUGUUUUUAAGGUUACAACUCUCUCCCUUCUGUUUAUACAAGAUCAUGAUCAUCCCCUCCCUGAGAGUGGGCAGCAUCUCCUCAUACAGGUCUGAACCAAUGAGGUCUCACAGCAAUAUGUACGACUGCCAGGAGACAAUCAUAGUCCAGCAUCCUGCCAGGUCUAAAGGCUUUGACAGCAGUGUGCAGCUCUCUGUGUCAAAAGGGCUUCUAGCAUGGGUUUCUCUGCUAAGAGAGUCAACCACAGACAAGCUCCUGGACAGAGUCCACCAUGAAAUCAUGCCUCCUGCACUAAAUUAGGACAGCAGUAUCCUGUUCCCUGCAGAGCAGAAGGGUCCAGUCCCUCAUCAGGUAGCAAUAGGACUUGGAGAAAGGGAUGGCACAUUCCUGCAACAUGAACAGAUCACAAUUCUAAGAAGCCAGGAGUCCUAGCACAGCAUGUCUACAUAACUUAUCCUUAAUACUUCUAACAUUAAUGGUGAUAGAAAUUGAUGCCAUAGUUAAUUAAAGAGAGGAAAGGACACUUUAUUGUCCAACAUGACUCCAUUAACAAUGUCUUACCCCUGUUGGGAGAGGCUUCUUCCUUCUCCUCCUCCUUGAUUUGUGAUAUCCUGAGGUGUUUGGGGCAUUUCCACUUCUACAGGCUUUAAUAGUCUCUGAAUAGUCAGUCUCUGAAUACUGUGGCUCUGGUACUGAGGCCGUCUUGCACGCCAUAGCUUCCCGGAUGAGUUCCUUUAUCUCUAGAUAUGCUGAAUCUGCAUGAGAGCAGGAAGGUUGUUGUUGGUGCCUUUUGUUGAGAGCCGAAGGGCAUGAGUCCACAAUUUCGUCAUGGCUCAGUUUUCAUUUCCACUGGCAGGAGUCUCGUAAUAGUUCUUUGAGGUGUGUGUCUGCAGAGGGGAGAAGAGGGUUAAAAGGGUCUGAGAUGGUGGCUAAAGCAGUGAGAAAGAGGGUUAAUAGUGCUGCAGUGGAGGAGGGAUAGAAUUAUGGGGGAAUGGGCAAGAAGGGAUGGUUGGAGGGGGGGGUUGGUGGAAGGGGUGAAGGUGGUGACAAGUGGAAGGGUAUUUUAGUUACCCUUCUUUUUUCCUUUCUUUUCUGUCCGCUUUAUGUCGAGGGUUAGAGCUGGGCCUGUUGGUGGUAAUCCCUUGCUUGCUACCGCUGCAUACCACCUCUUUGGGCAGUCCUUAUACAUGUGGGAGACUUACCCACAUAGAUUGCAGCUGGUUGUCCUGGGGCAGUCUUUGGUCUUGUGGCCCGUCACGUUGCAUAUCCUGCAUUGCAGUCCUUUUCCGGGUACCCUGGCUGGUUGGACUUCUGUCAGUUCUUGGGCUGGUCCAAGGUAGGUGUUGCAUGCCCACAUGGGAUGAUGGGUCCUUUUUCAGGCAGACCAUCAGGGACCAUAUUCCUGUCCAAAAUCCAUACUUUUCUGUGAUCUGGACCAGGUCUUUCACCACUGAGCAGAAUCUACUCAGAAAUGGUGCAAGGUUCCUCAUUGGCAGCGUCACUCCUUUUCUUUCUUUCUUGGGCAGCUCCCAACAAAUCAGAAUAGGGAGGAGUCCUGUUUGGCAGUAAGGAAAUGUUCCCAAUACAGAUUGCAGAUUGCCAUGGUGAGGAACAAUGUGAAAGAGCUCUCCUUACAAGACUGCACGUUUAGAGUCUCCACCAUGGUGAAUCCCUAGUUCAGGAUCAUCCCGGGAUUCUUACAUCCACCUCCUUCAGCUUCAAGGCCAAUGUUAUCUUCAUUCAAGCCUCUAGAGGGGAUGCUUUCACUGGGUGUGCCCUGCUUCCAUUACCAUUGCUGGUGGAAGAGGCAGUACCAGAGGCCUCAGCUGCCAUCCUCUCUGAGCGGGCUAGGAGAGGUUGAGAGAGGUUUGUGGAGUCACUAAACUGGGGUUUCCUCCUCCCAGGAAUUCCUACUGGGUUACCUCAGCUUUCUUCUAUGCAGGAGACCUUACUACCACUUCUUGGCUCUUCCCUCCUCUGCUAAAAGGUUGUGUUUCCUUGACUUACUUCUCCGCAGUAGGUCCUACAGUCCGGUCUUGACUUCCCAUUCUGCAGUGGGUUGCGCUGUCUUGCUUUGGAAACCUACUCUGCAGGAGAUCCUUAUUCCACUUUCACCUCUGCAGAAAAACUUAGGGUAAUGCCCAGUCUUUCUGAAUCACUGCAUUUAAUCCUUUGUAUGUUGCUAAUGAGUGAUCAGUGAUGGUUGUACUGGUAGUAGAUACUACUCUUGGUCUCAACCAAACUCCAGUUCGAUCCUUCCCCCAAUAGCAGCAGGUAGCUUAAGUCAGCAAGGGCAAUCCUACAAGGCCAAGGGAAGAUUCUCCCAAAAACAAGAACCCAACUUAGCUCAAAGGUGAGAAGCGAUGGGCCAGUUUAGAUUACUCUAGUUUUUGCUGUCAGUGUUUUCAACGUUUGAGUAACCAAAAGAUGGCGCUGUGUAUUAUUACUAGACAACAGUUAGGUUGCACAUUUGCUGCAAAGCUUGAAGAACCAGCAGAUGGCGCUAUGUGUGCUAUUACUCAUUUUCAACUCUGCAGACACGCAACUCUCCUUGUGCUACAAACCAACAGAUGGCGCUGUGUUAUACGCUUACAAGACAGCAGCCAGUUACACUAUACAUUUGCUGCAAUGCUUGAGAAACCAACAGAUGGCGCUAUGUGGGAUAGUACUCCUGCAGCGAGGUAGUUAUAAUGGGAGCAGUUAUCCCCCAUUGCUACAUUCCAGGGUACUAUGCAGAAUCUUACUCGAAAUGUCCAGAUUGAAAAAUAAAGCAAAAUGCUUAUCAUACACAAGUGUAUUGCAGUGCACCCAUAUUCCUGCAAUCAAUGAAACGAUACAGUGAUUCAUAUCCCUGCUAUGGUACUCUGAGUGUUAAAAUACCUUUUUUAUUAAUACUUUUACACAGACUUAAGCGGUGAAGAUAUUACUGCGUUGUCUCCUCAACAGAGCAGUGGACAAGAUUUUCUAGUGACAUUGAUGUAAAACAGAUAAAAAUAGUAUAUUGCAAUACUGUUUUUAUUGGACCAAUAGAACUUUGGAACCACCUUUUGGGAGAUCCGCCCUUUCUUAAAAGAAUCUCCAGAAAGCUUGGCAUUUAAAAAACAAAAAUGUUAUUCUUUUAAAACUGGUAUUUUCAUGUGUUUAUAUCACUGCAGUAAUACAGAUAAAAGAUUUACUCCAAUGCAUGUGUCACUGCAAAAAGUAAAAGCAUGAUAAAACAGAGUGGAAAGGGAAGCAUUUAUUGAUUUUAGAUUGCAAAAUAUAUAUCCUUUAGUAAUGAGAAUGUCUACAAGAAUAUUUCUUCUUCCAACAGCCACUAACCCAAUACUGGUUAAUUGAUCUUCAGGCAACAGAGGGCGCUGUAGACCAUGUCAGUACAUUAUUGCCAAGUCUUGCUAUACUGCACAUGGGCUGCGAAGAUUGAUCAACCAACAGAUGGCGCCUUUGUAAGACUUUUAUUUUACCAUUAUUUGUAAUGGCUGUUUUUCCCCUGGGAAUAAAAACCAAACGCUUCACUGAGCAGCGUGGCUUUCCCCAGGGCAAACAUACCAACAGGACACUCCUUGUACCAUAGCCACUACAGUGGGCUGCGGUGCUUGGAGUGUUCCUGCAAAUUCUGUUCUCUAUCAAUGAUUAGAUUGGCUCCUGUGUUUAUCACAUAUCGUAUUUCAUCCCAUUAUUCCAUUAUUGCUUGUUUCCAACACUAUAUAAAGACCUAAAGACACCAAGUAGUUAUAUACAUAUAUUUGAUACCUGUGUUUGAAUCACAGGCUCAGUUGCUGAAGAUGGUCACUCUUUCUGUGUUUUUAACUAAUUAAAUGGCAAUGUAGAUAUUUUAGUACUUAUAUAGCAGAGAUAUCAGGACACUUCUGACACCAUAACCACAACAGCAUGAUAGGUCUUGGUGCUUUGAGUGUUCCUUUAAUGUCCUCUUUCCUGUACAGAACAAAUUAUCCGAUUGCUAUGAUAUAUCAUUCAUACUAAGCCUUAGCCUGCCAUACCUAAACAUGCAUCAGAAUUUGUGGUUACUGGGGAAUGGUGCCAGGGUACUCCUACCUUUUUUUUAACCUCUACAGCAUGUUUUAGUGGAUAUGAUUAUUGGCGUUGCCCUUUUAGUAACUCAAAAUAAAAUAAAAAAUAUAAUACAGUAUGGAAAUUUUUUUUACAGCAUCUAAGGUAUAAUGUAUACAUCCACUCACUUAGAAAUAGAUAUCAAAACUGAUGUUCUAAAAAUGACUCUUCUUUGACCAGAAACCCUACUGAUUAACCGGUUAAAGACCAAUAAAUCUAUAUUGUCAUAAUCUUAUUGAUUGUCAUAAUUUAUUUUUACGAAUUCUAUUCUAGAAUGGAAUUACCUAGUUUAGUGGCUGAAUGGAGUUGCCAAAGAUUAACAAGAAAGAUAUCCAGGAUGGCAGUUUGUAUUUAGAAGUCUUAAACAGUUUUUGCCAUUGCUAUAGUGUUGCACUUGGUCCACAAGAGACUAAUUGGGUUUAAUAUUGAUCCUCAACCAUCAGCCUUGAUUUAUUAUUUUUGGAAUACGAUUUCAAAAUGAUUUUUUAAAGAUUAUUUUAAAACUUUAAAGAAAUGCAAAAUAAAAAUAAAGUUCAGAAAUAAAUUUUAAUAAAUCAAUGUGUGUAUAUAUAUAUAUAUAUAUAUAUAUAUAUAUAUAUAUAUAUAUAUAUAUAUAAACCACUUGAAAAGCGUAUAAAAAAUUCAUUGAAUCGAGGCAAUAUUUGUGCUUGAUUUUUCAUCUUAAUUAUUUUAGCCAUGUUGUCAAUGUGCUUGCAAAGUUUGAGUAACCUUUAAACUAUUGUAUCAACCAACAGAUGGCGCUGUGUGUGAUGGUACAUGAAGCAGCCACUCAUGCUGCACAUUUUCUGCAAACCUUGAAGAACCAACAGAUGGCGCUGUGUGCGACAGCACGCUUUAUUACGCAGAAGCCAGUCAUUCUGUACAGUUGCUGCAAAGAUUGAGAAACCAACAGAUGGCGCUGAUGAGAUUACUCUUAUUUGUAAGCUGUCUGCAAACGUGCUACAAAGUUUCAAUAACAAUAACUGCUGGUAAUAUUUGUUCCAUACAAUAAAGCCCUGAGAGUUAUUUAUUUAGCAAAAAACAUUCGAUCAACAAUAGCCAGUUUCGAAAAUGAUCCCUUUACAAUUACAAUAGCAUUUUAUAUAUACACAUUUUAAUGUAGUUUGUAGCUUUGACAACUAUAUACAAUGAAGAAACUUAAAACCUAAAAUACAUUUUAAAAAACUGACAAACACAGAAGUGAAAAGUGUCCCCGAGGCUGACUGCCCUUCUAGUAAUUUCACUGAUACUCUAACAUAGAAGCAGUAUUCUUCGUUCAUGCAUCCUAGAGUAUUAUGCAGAAUCUGACCCAAAAGCGAAAUACAUUUUACGAAUAAUGCAGUAGCACCUCUCGUCUCCCAUAAAACAAGUGUUGUAGUGCAGUUAACAGGUGAGAGAUAAAGUGAUACGUAUCCCUGUUAUGAUUCUGUGUAUAAUUAAAAAUUAAAUAAGGUAGGAACACUCAAUAUGAAAUAUAUGCAAGCUCCCAAGAGGGCUCUAUGAAAAUACAAUAUGGGGUGCUCACUCACAUAAGGCUUUAUCCCCAAAAGCCCAAAUACAUAUAAAUAACAAUGGAGUAAGGAGCACAACCAUCAAUAGUAAUAAAACAAUCUUUAUUAAGUGGGCAUGGCCACGCAUACGCAUUAGGUCUCCUCAGCCGGCAGCCAGGUCUCGCCCACCGGCUGAAGUAAGGAAGAGGAGGAGCGGCGGUGAGCAGAAACCACCACCGAGGGACAUCGGCGGGGGUCUCAGGUAAGUGACUGAAGGGGUUUUCACCCAUUCAGCAACCAGGGAUGGGGGUGGGAGGGAGAGGGGACCCGCAGUGCCAGGAAAACGGAUUGUUUUCCAGGCACCGGAGUGUCCCUUUAAAGAGUUAAACACAUAUUUCUUUCUUUUUCUCUUUUUCUUUUUUCUUUUUACAGUGUCAAUCAUUUUUUUUUUCACGAUAGUACCUUCUCUCUCACUGUGUGAUUUUUCUGUUUAUUUUAAUACAUUAAUAAAAGAUAAGUUUAAAUUACAUAUACCUGAGGGCAAUUUCGUAUUUAGUAAAUCCACUUUAGGUUUCUUACUAAUAUGUUAUGCAACUAAAAUGUAAUUUCAAACUGCCCUAACAUACUCUCAAUCUAAGAAGAACAGAAAGAAAAACACAAGAAAAUGAAACAUGUUAACGAGGGGUAGUGUAUGAUACCUGUGUUUAGUUAAGGGGAUACUAUAGUGCCAUGAAUACAAAGCUGUAUUCCUCUAAGUAUUGCUCCCUGCUGCCUCCCCCUCUCUCACUGUUAAGUAAAGGAAACCAUUUAUCUAAUUACCUUUUCCCAGCGCCAACAUCCCUCAGCGCUGGGUGGACACUCUGCCCCCUCCCACGUCCUGCGAGCGGGCGCUGAUGCACGUCAAGUACUGCUCGCGCAUUAGACCUCCCCAUAGGAAAGCAUCGAUUCAAUCUGACGCUGAAUGUCCUCAUGCAGAGCGUGAAGUCAGAUACCGGCCCCAAAGUCCAUUUGAUCCAGGAAGCCCCCUCAGUGGCUUUCUGGGAGACAGCCACUGGAGGCAGAUUUUGAGUUGCAAUGUAAACAUUGCAGUGUUUCUGGAACAGCAAUGUUUAAUAUUACAGCACUAAUUGCUAAACAGACAGCGUAACCACACCACUUCAAUGAGCUGAAGUGGUCUGGGUGCUUUUAGUGUCCUUUUAAUUGUAUGAGAGUAGAGUCAACGUAGAGUGUGAGUGGACUGUUUUGUGGGGAAACACAAGGGGCUGGCUGCACUCACCUGAACAUGCUUAAAUGGGGUGCUGCUGGGGGCCAAUAAGUACAGUAAAAAUGAAAAUCCAGCGCACUCCCUUAUCUACUAAACAGCUAGUUUGGUGCUGACAGAUUUUGCUAGUUUUAUUAAAAACACAUAAUCUAGGCAAAAAAUAAUUGGGGUUCAGUUACAUUAUAUGAUCAUACAUUGCAAAAGCCUGCCACAACGUCAAUGCACCCCAUCUUUGGCCUGUCCUACUAUUAAAACCAACUGUCUUCUAAAUGAGCUACUCACUUGGGGAAAUCCUUCCAUCUGGAGUUCUCUGCAGUAAAAGGCUAAAUAGGGUCCUGAGAUAAGGCCCAUGUGACAGGGAGGGGUGCAAAAUUAGCUGAAGUGCUUUUAGUGUCCUUUUAAUUGUGCGCGAGCAGAGAGUAGAGUCAAUGUAGAGUGUGAGUGGACUGUUAAGUGGGGGGUGUAAUUGUUAUCAUGUGAAAUGUUACCCAGGAAGAUGGUAAGGUUUCUUAAAGAGGUGCAUUUUUUAAUGAUUUCUUAAAAGACAUAUCCCUACAAUGUCAAUGGGAGUAACUUAUUGCCAUGCCUUCAUAUGCCUAUAAGAUAGAUCAGUACACAAGCACACAACUUAUUUAACUGGUCAAGGAAGACAGGUGAAGGUUUUUUUUUUUUUUUCUUGUGUUGCAUUAGAGGAAUAAAACAAAAUUCCUGGCUAAUCAUGGCAGCAUUUAACAUAUGGGUUAGCUCCUCCCUCCAGCCAAUAGGACAGGAAUACCAAUUAAAGAAUUCAAUUAUCCCUGAGGUAUAAGAGAUCCCAGAAUAUAAGGUUCCUCAGUCUUUUUUUUUCCUGUUCUCCUAGCCAGACAGGACAGCUUGUAUUUAUUACAAAAGACUUUGUUUUAUGCUCACCUGGCUAUGUAUUUCAGCCUUUUAUUCCCUAAGAGGUCAGCCUCCCUCUGUAGGCAGACCAGGUACAUGCAAUCCAUCUCUUGGUAGCCAGAAGAGUUAAUGUUCCUCCGGCAUCCUGUUGAGAUCUGCUGCAAUGCCUGUCCCUGCCAGAUUUCCGGUUCAGAGACUCAGGACGCAUGCGCGUUUAAAGAAACAGCACCUUAUUUCUAUUUAAAGGGGAAAAGUGCGUUGUUUUUUUUCUGCCGCAAAAUUCAAAUCCUUCAAGAAGGUGUAAGCUGCUCUCUGGCCCACGACAGAAAACUGAGCAUACUGUCAAGCAUUCUAGAAUUUCAAGUCGAAAGAAUGACUACAGCAAGAAAGGGCAUGAGGAUCAUAGGUUCCCUUUCCUCCAUGAUUGGCCUAGUGUGAUGGGCUCAGUGGAACCUCCGCCCUCUACAAGAAUACUUCCUACAGGAGUUCGAUUCAGGCUCCCAGGAAUGGGAGAUGAAGAUGUCCGUUCCGGAUCAUAUAAAAAUAUCCCUCAACUGGUGGCUUUCUUGGGAAAACCUAUCCAAAGUGUUCCCUCUGAGGGAGGUGGACUGGAUGAUUAUCACCACGGAUGCCAGUCAAGAUGGUUGGGGUGCACAUCUGAAAGACCACUUUGUUCAGGCGCUAUGGCCCCUGCACACCCGUCAUCUUUUUUCAAAUAUAAAGGAACUGAGAGCAACCUUUCUAGCUCUUCUACACUUCAAGUCUCUCAUUCAGGAUCAAUGGGUGAAGCUGAGAAUAGACAACAGGGCAGUUGUAGCGUACAUCAACCAUCAGGAAGGUACCAGGAGUUGUGCACUGAUGAAGGAGAUCGAGCCAAUCAUGAUUUGGGCACAGAGGACUCUAGCCAGUCUCUCUGCCUUAUACCUUCCUGGGAAGGAGAAUACGAUUGCAGACUUCCUGAGCAGACAUCAAGUGAAGGAGACAGAAUGGAAGCUAUCCGAUUUGGCCUUCCAACAACUGGUAAUGAAGUGGGGGCUCUCACAGGUGGAUUUAAUGGCCACUGCUCAGAAUACUCAUCUUCCAUGCUUCAUGUCAAGGAGAUUUCACCCACUGGCAUAUGCUCAAGACUCCCUUUCAUCAAGAUGGCCGUUUCAGCUGGCAUAUGUAUUCCCUCCGAUUCAGCUCAUUCUGAAGAAAAUCUCCAAAUAGCGAUGCAAGAUAAUAGCUAUCAUCCCGUUCUGGCCCUGUCGUCCAUGGUUUCCCCUCUUGAAGAGUCUGUUGAUAGACGAACCAUGGGAAAUUCCAGUCUUCUGGGAUCUUCUGUCUCAAGGACCUCUAGUACACCCAGAGCCACACAAACUGCGUCUUCAUGCAUGGCUCUUUAAAGGCAAUCCUUAAGCGAACAGGGUUUUCUGGAAGAGUUGUUUCCACCUUGCUACGUUCCAGAAAAGCUUCUACCUCCUCUACAUACUAUAAGACAUGGGGGGCCUUCGCGGAUUGGCUUCAUAAAGAUGUGAAGGAUUUAAAGUCCCCUUCUAUUUCCCAGAUUUUGGGAUUCUUACAGGCUGGGUUGGAUAGAGGUCUAAGUCUGAACACCCUUAAGGUUCAUUGUUCUGCUAUUUCUGCCAUGUCAGGUAUCAGAUGGGCUUAAAACCCCAUGGUAAUCCGCUUUAUGAAAGCAGUUCUUAGGAUUAGACCACCGAUCCGGGUUUACAAGUGUCCCUGGGAUUUAUCUUUGGUCUUACAGGCCUUGAUGGAGCAGCCUUUCGAACCGUUGGACGAUACCCCUAUGUUAUCCCUGACUCAAAAGACUCUACUUCUAUUAGCCUUAGUUUCAGCUAGAAGGAUGGCGGACAUAAGAGGUCUUUCGGUAGAAGAACCUUAUACCACUUUCUAUCAUGACAGGGUCAUUCUCCGUCCCAGACCAGAAUUUCUACCUAAGGUGGUCUCUCCUCUUCACAUAAACCAAGAAAUAGUUCUUCCUGUCUACUUCCAGAAUCCGUCAAACGAGAUGGAAGAAAAGUUUCACAUGUCUUUUGGUCUACAUUCAAUGUACUAAGGAUUGGAGGAAGUCUCCUCAACUCUUUGUUGUCCCUUGGGGCUCCCGUAAGGGUGAAGCGGCCUCUGUUUCUACCCUCCGUUCCUGGACUGUUUCCUCUAUUUCAAGAGCUUACAAGGUCUGAAGAGUCCCAGUUCCAAAAGGUAUAAGGGCACACUCUACCAGAUCGAUUGCCAGUUCAUGGGCUGCAGAGUCUGGAGUAUCACCAGACAGCAUUUUUGGAGCGGCUAACUGGUCUUCUAUAAGGACAUUUAUUAGUCAUUACAAACUCGAUAUUUCUUCGGAUUCUAACCUGCAAUUUGGACUUUUGGUUCUUAACUAUUGUUCUUCUCAAAGCAAAUAAAAAUUUCUAGGCAUCUAUUCCCUCCCUGUGGUAUUUACUGCUUGGGUAUUUCCCAUAUGUUAAAUGCUGCCAUGAUUAGACAGGAAAGAGGAAAAUGUAUUCAUACUUACCGUAAUUUUCUUUUCCUGGCUAUUAUUCAUGGCAGCAUUUGGGUUUCCCACCCCUUUAUUAAGUCGGAUCAGCUUGCUACUAGACUGAGGAAUCUAGUAUUCUGGGAUCUCUUAUACCUCAGGGAUAAUUGAAUUCUUUAAUUGGUAUUCCUGUCCUAUUGGGAGGAGCUAACCCAUAUGUUAAAUGCUGCCAUGAAUAAUAGCCAGGAAAAGAAAAUUACGGUAAGUAUGAAUAAAUAUCCCUUAUUCCUGAGUCAAAAGUGGAGUUUAUGGAGCGUGGCCCAUAUGAACAGAAAAUCUUGGCGGGAAACAGUUCUUUCGGACGACGACUGUAAAUAUUGAUCCUAAAACCAAGAGGGCGCUGUGUGAGAGGGAUUUCUGUGUAGUUAUCGACCCUUAACCAACUGAGGGCGCCAAGUGUAUGAUCACUGUAUUAACAUCGCCUCCUCAACCAGAGGGCGCUGUGUGGUGACGGCUGUGUAAAACAUCGAUCUUCAACCAACAGAGGGCGCUGUGUGUGAUGCAUGUGUAAACAUCGAUCUUCUCAACCAACAAUGCGGCGCUGUGUGUGGUGAUUUCCGUGUAAGCAAUCUCGCCUUCUCCUCAACCAACAGAGGGCGCUGUGUGGUGAUGGCUGUGUAAACAUCGAUCUUCAACCAACAGAGGGCGCUGUGUGGUGAUGGCUGUGUAAACAUCGAUCUUCAACCAACAGAGGGCGCUGUGUGGUGAUGACUGUGUAAACACCGAUAUUCAACCAACAGAGGGCGCUGUGUGGUGAUGACUGUGUAAACACCGAUAUUCAACCAACAGAGGGCGCUGUAUUCGUGAUACUGUUAUAACAGUGCGCCCGUGACGUAGGCUGUGAGGUUUUAACAAACCAAUAGAUGGCGCCACCUAACACAACUUCUUAAAAUUAAAAGGGAUUUUUUUUUUUUUAAGAAAAUACAUCUUAUAAUUAAUACUUGUUACUAUUAUUUAUGAUACUAGCUGUUCUCCCUUGCCAGUGCACGGUGUUUGGUUUCAGUAAACCAAGCAAUGUGACUUCAAUCAGGUCCCAUUGCUCAUUCAUUACAGCUGCGGCCUUCCUGGAAGCUUGGCCCUAACGAGGGCAAACCUAGGUUAGCAAAUUACCCCAAGGAAAGUGAUAAUGGUGGAAUGAUGUACUUAUUGAAUUACUGCAGGAAAACCAUCUGAAGUCAUAUAAGCUUCCUCACCUCUUGUCAACCUUAUUUUGUAUAUCUAUAGAUUUAUAUCCCCAAUGUGUAAUGGGAUAGAGCUUUGGAAUAUGUUGGUAUUUUAUAUAUGGCAAUUACUGAAAAUACUCAUCGAUCUUCAACCAACAGAGGGCGCUGUGUAAAGUGAUAGCAACCUGCUUUUGGCUGUACAAUGUGCUGCAAAGGAAGUAACCAACAGAGGGCGCUAUUUAAAGUGAUAGCAACCUGCUUUCAGCUAGUCCUGCUGUACAAUGUGCUGCAAAGGAAGUAACCAACAGAGGGCGCUGUGUAGAGUGAUAACCUGCUUUCCGCUAGGCCUGCUGUACAAUGUGCUGCAAAGGAAGUAACCAACAGAGGGCGCUGUGUAAAGUGAUAAGUGUGAGAAAACAAAAGAGGGCGCUGUGUGUGAUUAUUUUUCUGAUAUCUAAUCUGCAAAGUUUGAUCAACCACAGAUGUGUGUGUGAGGGCUAAUGGUUAGUUUUAACAAUGCAUUUAGAAAAUAUCAUUCAUGACUUAAUGAUGGAAUACAUAACAUAACAUAACCUAUUACUGCACACACACAUUUCACAACUCAUCAAGUGUGAAAGACAGGUGGGUAAAAAGUUUUAUUCUUUUGUUUUUUUGUGGCAUUAAUAAAGGAAAAUCAAGCUAAAACUCCUGAGUCUGAAGUGCAUGUGAAAGUGAUUUUGGUAAUUUAGAAAGUGUUUACCUGAAUAUUAAGCUCUUUGCAAACUAGUGAUGGAAAUUAAUGGAACUAUUCUAUCAUAAAAAUUAACCAUAAUUAAAUAAUUCCAUCAUGUGCUAAAAUUAACUCUAAAUCUCCUUGAUUGAUCACUGGGUUAGCUGUUGCUGGACAGCAAGUGAUCACAAAUGGACCAUGUGAGUGAUAGUCUCAGUGCUGCGAGGACUGAUCUGUAUUUUUUUUUUUUAUUCUGCUUUCAAGAGUGAACACACAGGAAAUAUGUCAAAGAGGUUCUGAAGAAGCUGUGGCCUUUUUUUUUUUUUUGUGCUUUUACAGAGUGAAGAUUUCUUACAUGUUCUAAUCCUUUAACUAUAUGUGUGCUUAAUUUGAUUGACAUUCUCCCAUAGCUGUAUUGAAAGAGACCAAGAGUUCAAGAGGUUCUGCAGCAGCCAUGGCCUUGUGUGUGAUUCAUAGUGACGAUUUCUUACAAGAUAUCCUUGGACUAUAUAUCUCUAGACUGUAAGCUCGUUUGAGCAGUGUACUCUUCAACCCAUUGUUCCUGUACGUUUUUGUAAUUGUCUCAUUUAUUGUUUAAUAUGUUGGCGCUAUAUAAAUGCCAAUAAUGAUAAUAUAUGUGUACUUGUUUUGAUUUAGAUUCUCAAUAGCUGUGUCUGUGUGUCCAAGCAGUUCUGCAGCAGCUGUGGCUUUUUUUCCUCAUUUUAUUGAUAUGAUUACAGAGUGAAGAUUUCUAAUAAUGAUAAUAAUAUAUGUGUACUUGUUUUGAUUGACAUUCUCAAUAGCUGUGUUCAAUGUGUCCAAGCAGUUCUGCAGCAGCUGUCUUUUUCUUCUUUUUUUUUAUUGGUAUGAUUACAGAGUGAAGAUUUCUAACAUAAUAUAAUCUUUGGACUAUACAUGUGCUUAUUUUACUGUUGCAGGUAAGAGUCGUCUGUAGGAAAAGGUUUCUCAUUGAACAAGGUUUGAUUUCUUGUUGCUAAACGGUA
Molecule: long non-coding RNA, 89308 nt
Filed under: Pelobates cultripes (western spadefoot toad)
Lineage: Eukaryota; Metazoa; Chordata; Amphibia; Anura; Pelobatidae
Source: RNAcentral